This 66424-nucleotide long non-coding RNA is filed under the name Citrus maxima (pomelo). Its description in RNAcentral is "long non-coding RNA (CMAX_LNC001825)". Lineage: Eukaryota; Viridiplantae; Streptophyta; Magnoliopsida; Sapindales; Rutaceae. The record is from RNAcentral.
UGAAUACGAGUUUUGCUUCAGUUUGAGCACUUGAAGAAGCGGCAGCUUUUCUAGUGUUGGCAUGGGAUCAUCCAUUAGGUCAGUAUUAGAAAAACUCAAGUGGGUUAGACUAUGAGGAAAUAGGUAUUCAGCAAGGACGAUUUUGGAGAGCCGUGGCAUCUUGCUUUCAUUCACCAGCUUCAACGACUCGAGACAGCUCAAUCUGCAGAGACUUUUGGAAAACAAAGAUUGAUUAUAACUUAAAUCUCCCCGUAUUCGGAGAUUUCGAAGAUUAGGUAGUCUGCCCAAUAUAUCUUCAGUACAGCAGCAAGGAUGCAAGGCAGAAAUGAAAUUGAGAUUUUCCAGAGAGCCGCAAUAUUUUCCUGGAUGCGCAGGAAGUGUGAUUGACCCAAAAUUUAGAUGCCUGAGUUUUUUCAUCUUCCAAAAUUCAUCUGCUGUAUGAUCUAUAUAGCUAAUGGGCAUGUCUAGGGUGUAGAGGUUCAGAAGAUUGCUUAACAAUGAGGAAGGCAGGCUUUUGAGGGAAGGGAUAUUCAACUUCAAAUAUCUCAAAAGAAAUAAAUUUUCAAUUCCGGAUGGAUACUGGAUGAGAACAAGAGAUUCCAAGUCCAAUACUCUGAGAAGUUUGAACAUUCCACAAAUGUUCUCCCAAUCCAUGGGGUCAAAGUGGCGGGUUUCUGGAGAGCAGAACAACAAAGACUGCAGUUGCGAGUCAUAAUCAUCUAAGCAAGCAAAAUCACCCUCUCUUUCAACAGCGUUUAACCGUUUGGCAUUUUUUUGUGAUUUACCUUCUGGAUCCAUGAAAGGGGAAAAGAUAAAUUCCACCCUAUAAGGAACUGUCAUCAACACAGGAUGGCAACGACCUGGAAUAGAGCAUGUGUUGAUAGUGCCUGCAGCUUUUCUCUUCUUUGCUUCAACAAAGCCUCCCUUGAUUAGUUGUUCUAAGUAAUUCUCAGCAGUUGCCUCACUAUUGUCUGGGAUGAAACCUUCAGCUAUCCACAACUGAUAUAACUGCCUGGUGGAUAUCUCUAGGUGUGCGGGAAACACAGAUAAGUAGAGAAAACAAAGUUUCAAGCAAAAAAGUAACCUGCAAUAUUUGAAGUACCGAAGGACAAAGGGUGUCUCGAAUACUUCCUCUAUAUUUUCUUCAAAUGAGAUGCUUCCAUGAUAUAAGAUGAGGAAAGGCCAUCCUUUAUAUGUAGCUCUCAAUGGUCCUCCAGUUGGCACUGAAUCAAGCCGAAUGUUCUCUCCGUCUUCGAGCUGAAAUGAGGUGACCAUCUUAAUUUGAGUGAGUGUUAUUAAUACUCUACUUCUAUUCUGAUUAUCCGGGAGUAUUUCUCGAAUAAUAUCCCUUACUUCAAUGUUCCACACAUCAUCAAUCACAAUCAAAUACCGCUUGGUCAUUAGAUAUUCAUGAAGAAUAAUUUUUUUCAUUUCAUAAUUUUUAUCCUUUAUUUCACUCAACCUAGAUCAAGGCAUCAGAAACUUAAUAAUGAUAUCUAAUAUUUGGUCCGCUUCAUACGGACAAGGCUCCUGAAUCCCAGUGUGACAAUCAAAAUAAUGCUUCACAUAACUGCUGUUGUAAGCCUCUCCGGCAAAAGCCGUCUUGUCCAACCCAAUGCUAUCAAGUAUGGCCACCACUGAAAGCUGAGGUGGUCCCUCGAUCAAUAGAUCUAACAACUCCUCCAUUCUAUCAUCUAGACCCACCAUGUCCCUACUUUUAGAAGAUGAAGAUAUACCGGCUUCAGCUUCCAGAUUUUUGAAGGCAUGAAAGAUUUCGGAAUCGAUGUGCGGAACUUGUUGAGUCCGUUGUUUUAUAUCAAUGAUUCUGCUUUGGAGUCCUAGCAGAGCAUCACAGAUGUCCUUGCUGCAGCUGCUUUGACUCUUCUGUUGAGUGAUGCUGUUGAUGAAUGUGUCAAUCACCUUCUCAGAUUCACAGGUAAAGCAAAUGAUUUCGUCCAUGACGGUCGCCAGAUCUGGGUUGUCAAUUUCAACUUCUCCUAUUUGUUGCAUCAGAAGCCAGGACGUUUCAUAUUCAAAGUCCCUCAGCCAAGAAGUAACGAUUUCAACCUCGGCAAGAAGGUUCUGAAUAGGUAGUUUUGCAGCAUCAGGCAACGUGACUUCUUCAUCAGCUAACACCCUUCUCAGCCUCUCUGAAAAUAGUCUGAAGUUGAUGUCCAUAUCUUCUCCUCUCUCAGUACCACCCUGUAAUCAGUCCUGUAGCAUGCAAAGAAAUAGUUAAAAACAGAGAGUUGGAAAGAAACUAUGCUUUAAAGCUCCCCUACCUCCGUUCUCUUAGCUAGUACUCCAUUCAAGAAAUUGAAUCGAGAUUGUUGACUCUCAAAUUAGAACAGAUCAAGGCAGAGCAGUGCCGUAAAUGAAUCUUACAAUACACUGUUCUCCAUAUGUUGUAAAAAGAAUAAAGCAGAAGAGAAUAAAUAGGUCUUGAUCAAGGAUCAAUCAAGACCAAUAUGUAUUAUACAUCCACUUUCAAGAAAGAAAAGGUCAAACCAAUUCCACCGGGACCAUAAAGCCUAUUUGAAAAGAAAAGAACAGAGCAAGAUCGUUAAUAAUUUAAGCUGUGGAAAAAUGCAAAAUCACGUCAACCACUUUCACUGGCGUGCAAAAGUUUUUAUGUAUCCACUGAAACAUUUAUUGUUGCUGAAUGAAAUGAUCUUAGGUUGACCUACACAACUCUUUCUUUCAGUACUCCAGUAGUGCAAGCAUGUCAGUUUAGUCAAUAGUUUCUCCUACACAUAAAUGAUGUUUAUUAUAGAAUUUUGAUAAUGGGUACAAUAAGAAAGUAGUUGCAGAGAAAAUAUUGGGGGUUGAUGUGAUAUCUAUUGACUUGGAGCAUAAUAAAUAAUUACAAAAUCAUUGUUUGUCUUUUAAUUUUCAUCAUACUCAUUAAAAAAGUAUUAUGAUUACAUAGUCAGUGAUUUAUAUUCACAGAAGACAAAAGUAAUGAAUAAAUAAGCUACCACUUGCAAUUAAUAAAAUGCUAACCCUAUCUGGUAAGGUAGCCCUGUUCAUUGAAAGCAAAAGCAACAGAAUCGUUCACUGUGCUGCCACAAAAUGAUUGUCAUGGAAGGCACCAAAGUUUCCAAGUAACAGACAAAGUCGAAGUAGUUAGCACUAUGAGGCGAGGCUGAAAAACUUGUUCCUCACGGUAAAUAAUUUUUAAUAACGACCUACUGCUAAUCAUUGUGUUUGUUAAUCUCUGCCUUAUGCCUUAGCUUUAACAGCACCUCCAUGUAAUCCUCUCAACCCAGUACACGGGAUCAGAGUCAGGCAAGCAUGAAGUUCAUCAGUAAUCAAAUCUCUUCGGUAAAUAAACAAAGCAUAUUGAUUGAGUGCCUCAGUGUAGCAACUGGAGUGCUUAAAACCAGAGAUACCUCAGUUGCUGCCCAAUAUCACAAUCCAAUCAAUCAAGAUGCUACCAAGAAUGAACUGAUUUGAAGUUCAAUUGAAAAUGGAAUUGAAACAAGAUGAUGAUGAAAGAACAGAAAGCAAUUAAGAUCAAAUUGAAUCAAAGAAUUGAAAGAACCAACAGAGGACAAAUCGAUUCAACGUGGUUCAGCUAAUUUGCAUUAGUUUGCAUCCAUGGGAGGAAAUUUCUGAUCAGUUUUUAUUGAUUCUUCAAGAUGCAUUACAGAGUACAAAGCAAGGAACAAGAUGUAUUACAUAACGCGAGUUAGCUAACUCUAACGAACGUAAGCAGCUUUCUACAAGCACGUGAGAUGUCCGUGCUUCAUUAAGCAGCUUUCUAGCCUUUUACUAGACGUGGUUUCAUUUUAUUGAACCAUUAGAGGGACACAUCAGUAGUCACAAAAAUGCCCCUGUAAUGGCAAUCCUUGUAAUCAUUUGGCUGCCGCUCUUCAUUCCACUCCCAAGUACGCAGCCCAAACUUCAACUUUCUCUGAGAAGGUAAUGAAGCGUGGCUCUGUCUCAGUAAUCUGUCUUUCAUAUUCCAUGAAAUGAGCCAAAGGAGGAAUGCUUCUAUAAUUAGUAGCAACCACCAAUCAUAUUGAAGGAAUUUUCUGCAACAGAUAAAGAAAGAGCAGCAGAGAACAAAGCUGUUAAUCAAUCAACACAUGUAAAGCAGUAUUAGUAUUUCUGCCUUAUUGUAGUGCCUAAGCGGGUAUUAGGAUUUCUUCACAAGAACGUUUACUAAGAUAUUCAGCCAAGUAUGAAGUUCAUCAAUAAUCAAUCUUUUCUGGAAAUAAACGAAGCAUAUCGAGUGCCAAACUUGCCCAGCCUUUGAAACAGGAUUUCAGAGAAAGCAACAGAACAAAGACAGAAAAUACAUUCAACUGAGCCCAACACCAGAAAGCAUCAUAAAUAUUAUUUAUUUUUUGUACACAAUUAACGAAACCAUGGCCGAAGCACAAAACAAUGAACUCUCAACUGAAAAUCCUAAGCGAAAUUUCUUAUUUAUGGAUAGACAGCUGAAACAAAGAAACCAAAAAAAAGUCCACCACCGUAGGAUCAGGAUUUAUUUGUGUAGACAGCAGAAGUGAAGACAGAAAGGAUUCUGGUUGGAAUUGAAGCUCGGGCUGCAGUUAUGAUGUUUUCUGCUCUGAUUUCACCUACACAAGUCAUUGAAGAAAUUGUGAAAAAUAAGAUUUUUUAAUUACAUUUUUUUGUCUUAACUAUUAAAACAAAUGAACGCGAUAUCUGCUAGGCUCAUGGUUGAAUAUACAAGGGUACUUAAGUCUCCACUUCUGCUAAAGAGGGCUUGAUGAUUGGGGUGAGUAUCGGAAACUCUAAAAGGUACUCAAUGUUGAGACAAAUUAGAAGAAAACACUUUGUAUAACCAUCUUUAUAUUGAAGAGAAGGGAAAAAAAAAGUAUAUGAAAUUGGAUAAAUAAUUAAAAGUUGAAUAAAUUGGUUAAAACGAGAAACAUACAUCAAAUUCAAUGGGGGCUAAUCAAAUUCCAUAAGGAUAUAGUUGAAUGCCGCACUGUUCCUUAUCCUCAAAUUCCCGUAGCUUUUGUCUCAGCUCUGGCUGAGGCCACCAGCAAUCGAACUUGUUUAAGCUCUUUAUGCACCAGAGCUGUUCAGGCAUCCUUUUCAAGUAAGCACAAGGGUUGAUAAUCAAGCAUUCUAGUUUUGGCAUGGCCCCCGUCCCCAUAGUCCACUCCUCUAGCCAUAGCAUUGAUUUCAGGUGCAAUACCUUGAGAUUUGGAAAACCAUCAGAGCCACAAGUCAGCUUCCUACCUGAAUACGAGUUUUGCUUCAGUUUGAGCACUUGAAGAAGUGGCAGCUUUUCUAGUGCGGGCAUGGGAUCCUCCAUAAGUUCCGUAUUAGAGAAACUCAAGUGGGUUAGUCUUGGAGGAAAUUGGUACUCAACAAGGACAAUUUUGGAGAAAGCUGGCAUCUUGAUUUCGUUCACCAACUUCAAUGACUCGAGGCAGCUCAAUCUGCAAAGACUUUGGGACAACAAAAAUUGAUAAUAACUUAAAUCUCCCCAUAUCCGGAGAUUUCGAAGAUUAGGUAGUCUGCCCAAAAUGUCUUCAGUACAGCAGCAAGGAUGCAAGGCUGAAAUGAAAUUGAGAUUUUCCAGAGAGCCGCAGUAUUUCCCUGGAUGCGCAGGAAGUGUGAUUGACCCAAAAUUUAGAUGCCUGAGUUUGUUCAUCUUCCAAAAUUCAUCUGCUGUAUGAUCUAUAUAGCUAAAGGGCAUGUCUAGGGUGUAGAGGUUCGGAAGAUUACUCAAUAAUGAUGGAGGCAGGCUUUUGAGGGAAGGGAUAUUCAACUUCAAAUAUCGCAAAAGAAAUAAAUUUUCAAUUCCAGACGGAUAUUGGAUGAGAACAAGAGAUCCCAAGUCCAAUACUCUGAGAAGUUUGAACAUUUCACAAAUUUUCUGCCAAUCUAUGGGGUCAAGGUGGUCGCUUUCUGAAGUGAAGUACAACAAAGAAUGCAGGUGCGAGUCAUAAUCAUCUAAGUAAGCAAAAUCACUCUGUUGUUCUAAAGCGUAGAAACGUUUGACAUUUUUUUGUGAUUUACCUUCUGUAUCCAUGAAAGGGGAAAAGAUAAAUUCCACCUCGGAAGCCACUCCUAACAAUACAGGACGGCAACGACCGGGAAUAGAGCAUGUGUUGAUUGUGCCUCCAGCUCUUCUCUUAUUUGCUUCGACAAAGCCUCUGUUGAUUAGUUGCUCUAAGUACUUCUCAGCAGUUGCCUCAUUAUUGUCUGAAAUGAAACCUUCAGCUAUCCACAGCUGAUAUAACUGCCUGGUGGAUAUCUCUAGGUGUGCGGGAAACACAGAGAAGUAGAGAAAACAAGGUUUCAAGACAAAAGGUAACAUACAAUAUAUGACGCAUUGAAGCCCAAGCGACAUGGUCAAUACUUCGUCUAUAUUUUCUUCCAAUGAGAUGCUUCCAUGAUACAAGAUGUGGAAAGGCCAUCCUUGGUAUGUAGCUCUCAAUGGUCCUCCAGUGGGCACAAAAUCAAGUCCAAUGUUCUCUCCGUUUUCGAACUGAAAUGAGGUGACAAUCUCAAUUUGAGCGAGUGUUAUUAAUACUCUACUUCCAUUCUGAUUAUCGGGAAGUAUUUUUCGAAUAACAUCCCAUGCUGAUAUUCUCCACACAUUAUCAAAAACAAUCAAAUACCGCUUGGUCAUUAGAUAUUCACGAAGAAUAUUUUUUUUCAUUUCAUAAUUUUUAUCCUUCAUUUCACUCAGUCUAGAUGAAGGCAUUAGAAACUUAAUAAUGAUAUCUAAUAUUCGGUGAGCAUCAUAGCUGUGAGGCUCUGGAACCCAAGCGUGACAAUCAAAAUAAUGCUUCACAUAGUUGCUGCUGUAAGCCUCUGCGGCGAAUGCCGUCUUGUCCAAUCCAAUGCUAUCAAGUAUGGCCACUGCUGAAAGUUGAGGUGGUCCUUCUAUCAAUAGAUCUAACAACUCCUCCAUUCUAUCAUCUAGACCCACCGUGUCCCUAUUCUUAGACGAUGAAGAUGCAGGAAAAUUGCCGGCUUCAGCUUCAAUUGAUUUGAGCUCAUCAAUGAUUCCGGAAUCGAACUGCUGAACUUGUUGCAUCCGUUGUUUUAUAUCAAUGAUUUUGCUUUGGAGUCCUAGCAGAGCAUCACAAAUGUCCAUGCUGCGCCCGCUUUGACUCUUCUGUUGAGUGAUGCUGUUGACGAAUGUGUCAAUGACCUUCUCAGAUUCAUACGUAAAGCAAUUGAUUUCAUCCAUAACGGUCCCAAGAUCUGGGUUGUCAAUUUCAACUUCUCCUAUUUUUUGCAUCAGAAGGCAGGAGAUAUCAUCUUCAAAUUCACUCAGCCAAGAAGUAACGAUUUCAACCUCCGCAUGAAGGUUCUGAAUAGGUUGUUUUGCAGCAUCAGGCAACGUGACUUCUUCACCAGCUAACACCCGUCCCAGCCUCUCGGAAAAUAGUCUGAAGUUGAUGUCCAUAUCUCCUCCUCUCUCUGUGCCUAGUGGUCCUAACAUUCAAAUUGAGACAUAAUUGAGAGAGACAAUGAUUAAAAGAUUUUAAAAAAUAAUAAUAAGAAAUCUUUAUGUCUCUCAAUUCAAACAUUAACCAGCAUUAAUUGUUGAUGAAACUCUACUCAGAACCAUAUGCCUGAUACCUCCUUCUCUAAUUAAUCCUGCCGAGUGUUGCCAUUCAAAAAGUUAAAUCAUGAUUGCUGACAGUCAAAUUACAAGAGAUGAAAGGCAGAGUGCUGGAAAUGAAUCUUAUAUCCUCAUGUUGAGUAUGCAUUCUCAACCAAGAUUGGUGACCAAUCAUUACGUAAAACGAAUAGAAAGAAAAAUUUUAUAAAAUGCAAAUUAGCUUGGAAAGAUUCUACCUAGAAACCAUCAUGUGACAAAUUAAUCUCUUUGUCAACGCAUUUCUAAAUGUAAUAUAAUAAGUUUCGUCCUGGAAAUGAGCAAGAUGAUGCUUGUACUCAAAAUAAGCUAAGCUAGCCUUCAAUUUUUUUUUUUUUUAAUUUCCCCCUUUUUAUCUGAUUUGUCAUCAUAUGAAACGUGUGAGGAAAAACAUAACUUGUAAACGAGAAUCAAAUGCAAAUAAAUCGUGAACCUAACAUUCAUGAUAUAAAAAUAAUAAAAUGGAGUUAUUUUGUGGAUAAUUCAAAUAUUAAACUACCUGUUUUUUCUUGAAGUGAUCACAAACUUCAAUAUCCCGACGAUAUAUAUCUUAUUUUGAUUAAAAAACAACACAAUCAAAUUAUUACAUAGAAAGAAUAGGAAAAACAAAGCUGAAUUUUAUUUAAAUUGGGUAUUGAUAGAUGAAUGAUUUUGUUAGAAUUGAAAAUGAUCGUGCAUGUGAAAGAAAAAUAAGUUCAGAGAAAAAUAAAAGAUCAAGAUCAUUUAAACUUUACUUGUAAGUAAAGGAAAAUAUCUUGGUUCAAGAAAAGAAAGAGAUACCAAACUCACAAAAUGGAAAAGGAGAAAGGUUAAACAAAGACUUAGUUCAAAGAAAAGAACAUGAUGCUGGUGUCCUGUCAUCUUUUUUUUUUUAUAAUUAAUUUUCAUUUUUCUUUUUCCAAUUUUUGUUUUUCCAAUCCAAAAAAUGAACGCAAUAUACAUUUGCUAACUGGGAAAAAAGUCAUUUUGUCUCAAAAUAAAAUGACAAUAUAUCAUGAUUACAAGAUGUCUUGUGUUGGGUUCAGUUAUUCCAUGUGAGCCAACCACCCAUGUUGAGAAGAUGAGCGACUUUUAAGGGGAAUAAAACUGUCUGCCUCCCGAGGGGUAUUUAAGAAAACAGUGUACACCAGAAGUGGGGGAUCAAAAGAAGGAAUGAAAAAAGAAAAUUAAUCUUCCAUCGUAGAGAAUGAGAGAAAAUUUAUAUUAUUUCAUCUUUUUUUUUAGGGAUAUUAUCAUUUUUCUACCAAAAGUAUUCUGACACAUUAUGUCAGUACCACGGUUUGGUAAAACUAUCAAUUUACCACCAAACGUUUAAACUGUUAGCAUUUAAUAAAUAAAUUUGCCCUUUAAAAAUUAAAUAAAUUAAAUCAAUUUAUGAAGUACCUAGCACCACACAGUCAAUUUUACAAAAUUCAUGAAGGGUAAUUUUUGCCCUUUAAGAAGGAAAAACACCAAAUGAUGAUUUAAUUACAAAAUUCAUAAAAGGUUAUUUACACGGUCUUUUACACUCCAGGGGUAAAAUUGACCUUUUAUGAAUUUUCCGUUACAUAUUAAUUGAGUUUUAACGGAAUGGUGGGAAAAUGCUAACAGUUUAAAUAUUUGGUGGUAAAUUGAUGGUUUUACCAAACCGUGGUACUGACAUGAUGUGUCAGACUACCUUUGGUGGGAAAAUAAUAAUAUCCUUUUUAUUUUUAUUUUGCUUGAGUUAUUUCCUUAUAGUCAACUAUUUAAUUUGCUUCAAAUCUAACUUAAGCAUAAGAGAGUUCUCGCCGGAUCCCCCACCGGUGAGUCGUGACCGGUUUUUGUAGUUUUCAGGCUGCAGAUUUAAGUUCAUAUCAACAUUCAAAUUUUGUUCGUACUAGUUUUCGACUCGAAACAAAUUCAGUUGUUGAGCUCAUUUUUCGACAUCAACAACUUGGACAUUCUUAAGAUAGCAAAAUCAAUAAACUCAACAUUAUGUUACUGGCUAAAGAGUGAAGAAACCAUAAGAAUCCAAUGACAACCAAAGCAGAAGGAUCAAUUUUAAUACAAAAGGGAAUUCCUCUGCUGCAAACAAGGGCUUUGAUGUGAUUGUAAGGAAUUGAGAGUGAGCAGCAGCACAUCCUCUCGCCAUCAACUUCAUUGCACUGCAUUACAAGGCAAAUGUGAAAACGAUUACAGCUGCCCUUUAUUCUCUUAGUGCAAUUGGGCUGCUAAUCAACCAAUAGAGAAAGAAUUCAGUCAUCAAUUCUAACAAAGCUUCCAAAACCUGCAACGCUACAACUAAAUUUUAAAUCUUCCACUUUCAGAACUUUACUCGUUAAAUCUCCUUUUCAAUUCUACCUAGUCCUUACUGGAUCCUUAAAGUCACCAAGGAUUAGUGAUGGUUUUUUAUUUUACAAGGGCUGCUGGACAACCCAGAUUGACGAGGGCUAAAAUCUCCAUAUAUUUGGAGGCUAUGAAGAUUAGACAAUAUGCCCCAGUUUUUUUUUGUUGUUGUGUUUAAUCCUCUGUUAGUACCAAGAUCACACACCUAAGACCCUCUUUGACGUAUCAAGAAUCAUUCCCAGAAACCCAAACUCAAAAUUGAAUCAAAGUGCCUACAUCCACUGAAGAACAAGGACCAUUUCAUAAUCAUUCCAAGAAUAUACAACUUUUUCUCUUUAACUCUCUCUUUCUAUGGCUUUGAUGAGACAUGUGAAGAUGACCCAACAACCAGCCAUAUAAACUACAAUAAAGGCUAUUUCCAACAAACCCGAAAUUUCCCUGCACUUUUUUAACGAACCCCAACUGACUUUGGACCAGCAUUGUCGCCCUUACAAUGAACGACACGUCGGCGAAAUUCCAAAAAAUCGAACGACAAUAUCGUUCUGUCAGUUUUAAGAUGAUGAGAUGUGAUCACAGCACAAACAUUUUUCGUCUCACUAAAGUAAUGAGAUUGAACUGUACCACUACUCAAAAACUAGAAAAAUAAAAUAAAAUAAAAAACAAUAACAUAUAUGCAACUACAAUGUUGACAAAUUGAAUACACACCAGUGAACGUGAAAAUAUAAAGUAAAACAAGAAAAUGACAUAAUCCCUGAAAACAAAGAAACCAAACAAUUCUUAUAAGAAAAAAAAAAACCACACAAUUUCAGUGAAGGCUGGAUUCUUAUUGAAAUUGAAACUUUGGCUGCAGUACAGUUAAGAUAUUUUCCGCUCUGCUUUGACCUACACAUACAAGUAAUUGAAUAUCUUAUUUUACAGUUUUUCUUGAUUAUUUCAACAACCAAUACAUAAGGGUUCUGCCUCUUCUAUUAAUAAGGGAUUAAUGAUUAGUGUCAGUAUCGGGGAAUGUGAUGGACACUGAUACGAAUUUAUAUAUCAAAUUGGAGCCAUCAGAGGAGGCGCAAGUGGAAGAGCUCAACCAAGAACCCACAGUCAGUCAACCCAAGGAGGACAUUCACCAUGAGCUAGUGCAAGAGAAUCAACGGCCCAAACGAAACAAGAAACUUCCAGACUGGCUACGAGACUACGUCGUUUAGGAUGAUAUGUAAAAGCAUUGUGAUUGGCUGCGUUUGUUUUGGAUUCUUUUUUGUCAUUUUCUGUUGCGUUGUCAAAUUGGUUAUUUUCGAUUGUCUGUUAUAUAUUGCGGGAUUUUGUCAUUUUGGGAAGGCAUGAAAUGAAUGGACCACUUUUCUUCCUCUCUAUGACUCUUCUUCUUUUCUUCUUUCUCAUUUCUCAACUUCCAGUUCUUUCCUCUGGAGCAAACACUCGCUCGAAGUAGUGAUAAUUUUGAUAUUGCUCAGUUUCACGAAUUAAGAGCAUAUCACUGGUGCUUUCAUUGAUCAUGGCAAAUUCUGAAAUUCUUUUUGCUUUACAGACCUUUCAAGCAACUUUUGACGCCAAACUUGAUGGGCAACAACUGUCCAUCCAUCAAACAAUCUAACAAUUCAUGACAUCAGUUGACUCUCGUUUUGAGGAGUUACGUAUAGAAAUUCAUGGGUCUUCCAACAAACCAGUUGGUUCCUCCAACCCUUCACACCCUUCAUCUUCUAAAUAUGAUGGCGUUCUUCAUGGUUCUGAAGUUUCUCCAGUACUUCGUUCCAUGAAAAUGGAUGUGCCCAAAUUCGAUGGGUCUGACCCUACUGGAUGGAUUUUUCGAAUAGAAGAAUUUUUGACUUUCAUGACACACCUGAGAUCCUCUGACUACGGAUUGUCUCUUUUCAUAUGGAGGGUCGCGCUGCCGCGUGGUAUCAAUGGAUGAAGAACAAUCACUUGGUCACUACUUGGCAAGAAUUUUUAGCUAACUUGCGCUAUCGUUUUGGUGCUUCUUUGUAUGAAGAUCCCCAAGGUGAUUUGUCCAAAUUGAGCCAAACUACCACGGUUGCCGAUUUCCAGUCAGCUUUUGAAGAUUUAAUGAACAAGGUCACUGUAAUUUCUGAACCUCUUUUGAUUAUUUUUUUCAUCACUGGUUUGAAACCCAACAUUCGACGGGAAUUGUUUUUCUCUAGACCGUCUUCAUUAAUGGAAACUUUUGCCUUAGCUCGUGCUUUUGAGGCCAAAUAUGACGAAGUGAAACAGAGCUCACGCUCAUGGCCUAAAUGGCAGCAACCGUAUCCCCUUUCACCUGGUUUCCAAACACAACCCAAACCCAUUUAUCCAUCCUCUUCACCUGCAACUGUUACCACAGCCAUCACCCCCGUAUCAUCUUCAACUCUUCCCUCACAAACCCACAAUACCAAUAACUCCAACACUUUACCUGCAUUAUUACCGACACCAACAUUACCUAUUCACCAUUUGUCUCCAGCCGAACUUCGCGACAAACGCGAGAAAGGUUUAUGUUACGAUUGUGACAAAAAAUACAGCAGCAAUCAUCGCUGUCGCAGUAAAUUUCUACUUCUCAUGGGCAUGGAUGAUGAGGAAUUGGAACCCAAACAUAACGAGGAACCAUCAGAAUUGGUAGAUGCUGGUAUUACUGGUGACAUCUCUAGCUUAAAUGCUCUAGCAGGGCAGGCCAAUCCUCGCUCUCUUCGUUUAAUUGGAGAAAUUGCUUCGCACACCUUUCAAGUGCUGAUUGAUAGUGGCAGCACUCACAAUUUCAUAAAACCGGCGUUAGCGGAACGAUUGGGGUUAGCCAUUCAUCCCACUACCAAUUUCCGAGUGUAUAUUGGCAACGGUGACUUCCUGGUGUGUAAACAGUUCUGUCCUCAAGUGAACUUAACAAUGCAAGGCACGACUUUUAUGGUAGACCUCUUCAUUUUGCCAAUUGAGGGCACAGAUGUAGUCCUUGGCAUUCAAUGGCUACAGAAAUUGGGCAAAGUGUCCUAUGACUACUCUGCCCUUACCAUGGAGUUUUCUUUAAAUGAGCAACCAGUGAUGCUUCGUGGUGAUUUGUCUUCUAAUACUUUGAUCACUUAUAAUCAAUUGCAGGCAUUGGUUCAAAGUGAUACCGUGACCAGCCUUUGUGCUUUACAACCAGUGCCCGCCAUCGAUGCUUUGCCUUCAUUCUCCAUCACAGACACUUCCUCACUUGAAUUUCCUUCUUCCCUUCCUGCUCAAUUUCUCAACCUUUUACAGCAAUACAAACACCUAUUUCUCCAACCUUCUAGCCUACCACCACACAGAACUAUUGACCACAAAAUCCAUUUAUUACCCAACACAUCCCCCAUCAAUGUUCGUCCAUACCGCUACCCACACUUCCAAAAAUCUGAAAUGGAAAAACUGAUAAGGGAAAUGUCAGAGCAGGGCAUAAUUCGACCUAGCCAAAGCCCUUUUUCCUCCCCGGUUCUCUUGGUCAAGAAAAAAGAUGGCACCUAUCGGUUUUGUGUUGACUAUCGUGCAUUAAAUGCCGUAACCAUCAAAGACAAGUUUCCUAUACCGACAAUCGAUGAGUUGUUUGAUGAACUUGGGGGCGCCACCAUUUUUAGCAAAUUGGAUUUGCGCGUGGGAUACCAUCAAAUUCGUGUCCACAACCGCAACAUAUACAAAACGGCAUUUCGAACACAUGAGGGCCAUUAUGAGUUUCUCGUCAUGCCGUUUGGGUUGACAAAUGCCCCAUCCACUUUUCAAGCCACAAUGAAUCAGAUUUUUGCAGCUCAUCUCCGGAAAUUUGUGAUUGUUUUUUUUUAUGAUAUCUUGGUUUAUAGCUCCUCCAUGGCCGAGCAUUUGCUUCAUCUUGAGCAAGUAUUAGCUUGUUUACAUCUUCAUCAAUUUUUUAUUAAAUUAUCCAAAUGUUUGUUUUGCCAGGCCACUAUUGAGUAUCUAGGCCAUAUUGUUUCAGCCUCGGGAGUACAAGCCGACCCCCAAAAGAUUGAUGCCAUGCUUAACUGGCCAAGUCCACGUUCUAUCAAACAGUUGAGGGGUUUUCUUGGUCUCACUGGAUAUUAUAGGCGCUUCAUCCGUGGUUAUGCUUCCUUGGCAGCCCCCCUCACUGAUUUGCUGCGAAAGGAUGCCUUUCAAUGGAAUUUGACAGCCAUGGAGGCCUUUGAAGCUCUUAAACAAGCAAUGGUGCAAGCUCCAGUCCUUAAGUUGCCGAAUUUUGCUUCCGAAUUCGUCAUUGAGACCGAUGCUUCUAAUGUAGGCAUAUGAGCCGUACUUACACAACAUGGGCAUCCGAUUGCUUAUUUCAGCAAGAAGUUGGGUCCCAAAUUGCGGGCUUCUUCCACUUACAUCAAGGAGUUGCAUGCAGUUGUAGAACCUGUGUAUAAGUGGCGGCAGUAUUUGUUGGGCCGAUUCUUUGUUAUCCGCACGGAUCAUAAGAGUAUUAAAGAACUCCUUCAACAAGUGAUACAAACACCAGAUCAGCAAGUUUAUCUCCGUAAAUUAUUGGGUUUCCAAUUCCGAAUUGAGUACAGACCAGGCCGUACCAAUAGCGCUGCUGAUGCUCUAUCCCGUGUCCAUGAAUCAGCUCCUGAGGAUAACAUCAACAUCUCCCCCACUUGCCUUUCUUUUAACAGCCAUCCUUUAUUUGAAUUGCUGCAGUCAUUACUUAAUGAGAAUACCACAUUACCUGAUUUAAUAUCACUUCACCAGCAACUUUUACAAGGCAAACUGUCAGCUGACUUCUCCGUUCAAAACGGAUUUCUUCUCCACCGUCAGCGUUAUUACAUCAGUCCUACCUCCUCUUUAAAAGUCGUACUGUUGCAAGAAUUUCACUCUACGCCACUGGCAGGUCAUGUGGGUGUCACUAGAACCUUAAUCAGAUUAUCUUUAACAUUCUAUUGGCCCAAAAUGCGUCAUGAUGUGGAAACGUUUAUCCGAGAGUGUUUAAUAUGCCAGCAAACUAAGUAUUCCACUUAAGCCCCUGCUGGUCUUCUUCAACCAUUGCCGAUACCUAAUAUGGUUUGGGAUGAGGUCACAAUGGAUUUCGUUACAGGUCUUCCGUUAGCACAAGGUUUCUCGGUCAUAUUGGUUGUUGUCGAUCGUCUUACAAAGUUUGCCCAUUUUGGUCCGUUACCCUGUCAAUUUACUGCCCUCAAGAUAGCUGAACUCUUUGUGGACAUGGUCAUUAAAAUACAUGGUUUUCCAAUUUCAAUUAUCUCCGAUCGAGACCCAGUGUUCUUGAGCAAUUUUUGGAAACAAUUAUUCCUCUUAAGUGGCACAACUCUUCGUCAUAGCACGGCAUACCACCCUCAAACGGAUGGUCAAACGGAAGUGGUGAAUCGAGGAUUGGAGCAAUAUUUAUGAGCUUUCACUCAAGCCAAACCACAGAAGCGGGUUUCCUUACGGAGUUGGGCAGAAUUUAGUUAUAAUUCUCAUUUCCACAGUGGCUUGAAGAUGUCGCCCUAUCAAGCUUUAUUUGGCCGAUUGCCUCCAACUAUUCCUCAUUAUGCUAAGGGCUCUACUUCAAUCCAAGCUUUGGAGGACAUUCUCCUUGAACGUAAUACUCUUCUCCAGUCUUUAAAAGCUAAUUUGAGGCAGGCACAACAUCGAAUGGCUCAGAAAGCUAAUGCCCAUCGCCGUGAAGCUCACUUUGAAGUAGGGGAUAAAGUGCUGGUUAAAUUACAGCCAUAUAGACAGACCACUAUAGCUUCUCGCGCCUGUCAGAAGUUGGCCAAGCGAUGCUACAGGCCAUUUACGGUACUUGCUAGAGUGGGGUCUGUAGCUUACAAAUUGGAGUUACCCAGUACUUCCAAAAUCCACUCGGUUUUUCACAUCUCUGUCCAUAAGCCUUAUCAUGGCAACGACCCUGCUAUUUCACAUCCUUUACCAGAGUUGAGUGUGGAUAACCAUCCUCUUUUGCUACCGGCUGCCAUUUGUGCAACCCGAAUAGUGUUGCAACAGGGGAAGCCAACGCCUCAAGUGUUAGUUCAAUGGACCGACAGUUCACCGGAGAAUUCGUCUUGGGAAAACUUUGACGCCUUUUGUAAGCUCUAUCUAGCAUUUCACCUUGAGGACAAGGUGUGUUUUCCAGAGGGAGGGAAUGAUACGGAUUUAUAUAUCAAAUUGGAGCCAUCAGAGGAGGCGUAAGUGGAAGAGCUCAACCAAGAACCCACAGUCAGUCAACCCAAAGAGGACAUUCACCAUGAGCCAGUGCAAGAGAAUCAACGGCCCAAACGAAACAAGAAACUUCCAGACUGGCUACGAGACUACGUCGUUUAGGAUGAUUUGUAAAAGCAUUGUGAUUGGCUGCGUUUGUUUUGGAUUCUUUUUUGUCAUUUUCUGUUGCGUUGUCAAAUUGGUUAUUUUCGAUUGUCUGUUAUAUAUUGCGGGAUUUUGUCAUUUUGGGAAGGCAUGAAAUGAAUGGACCACUUUUCUUCCUCUCUGUGACUCUUCUUCUUUUCUUCUUUCUCAUUUCUCAACUUCCAGUUCUUUCCUCUGGAGCAAACACUCGCUCGAAGUAGUGAUAAUUUUGAUAUUGCUCAGUUUCACGAAUUAAGAGCGUAUCAGACACUUCGAAGUCUUUGUUGAGACAAAAAUUAGAUAGAAAACACUUUAUGGUGUCAUUAUUAUUUAGGCUGCUGCGUACUAUCGAAUCAAUCAUAGAGAAUAGAUGUUUACAUGAAAUUAGAUAAAUAAUUAGAGGUUGAAGUUAUUGGAUAAAAAGGAAAAAAAACUUACAUCAAAUUCGAUCCACGCUAAUCAAAUUCCAUAUGGAUAUAGUUGAAUGCCAUACUGCUCCUUAUCCUCGAAUUCCCGUAGCUGUUGUCUCAGCUCCGGCUCAGGCCACCACAACUCCAAUUUGUUUAAGCUCUUUAGGCACCAAAGCUGUUCAGGAAUCCUUUUCAAGUGAGCACAAGGGUUGAUGAUCAAGCAUUCUAGUUUCGGCAUGGCUCUAAUCCCCAUAGUCCAUUCCUCUAGCCAUAGCAUUGAUUUAAGGUGCAGCACCUUGAGUUUUGGAAAGCCAUCAGAGCUACAAGCCAGCUUUCUACCUGAAUACGAGUUUUGCUUCAGUUUGAGCACCUGAAGAACCGGCAGCUUUUCUUGUGCCGACAUGGGAUAAUCCAUUAGCUCAAUAUUUGAAAAACUCAAGUGGGUUAGACUCGGAGGAAAUUGGUAUUCAGCAAGGAUGAUAUUUGAUCGCCGUGGAAUCUUGCUUUCAUUCGCCAACUUCAAUGACUCGAGGCAGCUCAAUCUAUAGAGACUUUUGGACAUCAAAGAUUGAUAAUAACUUAAAUCUCCCCAUAUCCGGAGAUUUCGAAGAUUAGGUAGUCUGCCUAAUAUAUCUUCAGUACAGCAUUAAUGAUGCAAUGCUGAAAUGAAAUCGAAAUUUUCCAGAGAGCCGCAAUAUUUUCCUGGAUGUGCAAGAAGUGUGAUUGAGCCAAAAUUUAGAUACCUCAGUUUGCUCAUCUUCCAAAAUUCAUCUGCUGUAUGAUCUAUGUAGCUAAAGGGCAUGUCUAGGGUGUAUAGGUUCAAAAGACUGUUUAAUAACGAUGAAGGCAGGCUUUUCAGGGAAGGGAUAUUCAAGUUCAGAUAUCUCAAAAGAAAUAAAUUUUUUAUUUCGGAAGGAUAUCAGAUGCGAACAAGAGAUCCCAAGUUCAAUACUCUGAGAAAUUUGAACAUUUUACAGAUUUUCUCGCAAUAAGUGGGGUCAAGGUAGUGGCUUCCUGAAGUGAGGUGCAACAAAGAAUAGAGGAACGAGUCAAAAUGAUCUAAAAAUGCAAAAUCAUUCAAAUUUCCAUGAGCGGUGAAGCGUUUCACAUUUUCCCGUAAUUUAACUUCCUGAUCCAUAAUUGGGGAAAUGACAAAUUCCCCCUCGAAAGCCACAGUCAACAACGCAGGACUGCAACGCCCAGGAAUAGAGCAUGUGUUGAUUCUGCCUCUGUCACUUCUCUUCCCUGCAUCAACAAAGCCUCCAUUGAUUAGCUGUUCUAAGUAUCUCUCAGCAGUUGCCUCGUUGUUGACUGGAAUGAAAUCUUCAGCUAUCCACAACUAACAUAAUUGCUUGGUGGAUAUCUCAAAAGUGUGCGGGAAACACAGAUAAGUAGAGACAACAAAGUUUCAAGUAAAAAGGUAACAUACAAUAUGCAACGACUUGAAUCCCUCGGGGUUCAUCAAGUGCUUUCUCUAUAUUUUCUUUCAGUGAGAUGCUUCCAUGAUAUAAGAUGUGGAAAGGCCAUCCUUGGUAUGUAACUCUCAAUGGUCCUCCAGUGGGCACAAAUCAAGCCCAAUGUUCUCUCCAUUUUCGAACUGAAAUGAGGCGACGAUUUCAAUGUCAGAAAAAAUAAUCACAGUGAGUUAAACAAAUAAACCAGUAGGUAAUUUGACUGCAGCAAAACAGCAACUGAAGAAAAUAAACUCGAGGCCUAUAAUACAGUGUCCUUAAAACAGAUUUAUCACCUAUUGAAGUGCUUUAGGUUUCUUGAUAACUGUUUCCCAGGAUACAACGGGCACGAAUUUUCUUUCAAGCACAGACAGAUAAUUCCCGCGAACCACAACAACGGUAAACUCGAUCAGAAAACAAGACAAAAGAAGGAGGAAAGAAAAAUUGUAAGUGUUCUGUGUGCUGGUUUCAGUGUGUGUAAAAACAGAAGAGGAAGGUGCCUUUUUAUACUCAUGUGGGUACGUAACAAUAGCAUAAAAAUUGAAUUUCGGAAUUCAAUAUAUGCAAUUUAAUUGCUGUAACAGCCAUUGAAUUUUAAACAAUUCAAUUCAAAAAUUGAAUUGCAUAACAGCCCAAAAUAAUUGCGAAGCUGUUACAAAUCUUUUGAAUUCAAAAGGUGUGAAACUGUUACAACAAAUUUAAAAGGAAAUAAAAAACGUGCCAUGCGAGCUUGGGCUGACAUUCGCGGGCACACACGAGUUCAACCAAAUCAGUCAUGAAUUCGCCCCCCCCCCCCCCCGGUGCACGCGUGUGGGGAGAGAGCCUCUAUCCUUAAAAUUCUUGUUCAUGCAUGGUUAAGUAUUUAUAUAUAAAUACUAAUCCCUUGGCUUCUUCAAUGAGGAUAACAAAGCCUCCAUUAAUUAGCUGUUCUAAGUAUUUCUCAGUAGUUGCCUCAUUUUUUUCUGGAAUGAAACCUUCGGCUAUCCACAAUUGAUAUAAUUGCUUGGUGGAUAUCUCAAAGUGUACGGGAAACAUAGAUAAGUAGAGACAACAAAGUUUCAAGUAAAAAGGUCACGUACAAUAUGCAACGACUUGAAGCCCCCGGGGUUCAUCAAGUGCUUCCUCUAUAUUUUCUUUUAGUGAUAUGCUUUCAUGAUAUAAGAUGUGGAAAGGCCAUCCUUGGUAUGUAACUCUCAAUGGUCCUCCAGUGGGCACAAAAUCAAGCCCAAUGUUCUCUCCAUUUUCGAACUGAAAUGAGGCGACGAUCUCAAUUCGACUGAGUGUUAUGAAUACUCUACUUCCAUUCUGAUUAUCGGGAAGUAUUUCUCGAAUAACAUCCCAUACUGAUAUUCUCCACACAUUAUCAAGCACAAUCAAAUAAUGCUUGGUCAUUAGAUAUUCAUGAAGAAUAAUUUUUUUCAUUUCCGAACUUUCUUCCAUAAUUUCACUCAACCUACAUGAAGGCAUCACAAACUUAAUAAUGCCGUAUAAUAUUUGGUCAGCAUCAUAUGGUAAAGAAUCUUCAACUCAAGCGUGACAAUCAAAAUAAUGCUUCACAUAGUUGCUGCUGUAAGCCUCUGCAGCGAAAAUUGUCUUGUCCAAUCCAAUGCUAUCAAGUACGGCCACUACCGAAAGUUGAGGCGGUCCUUCUAUCAGUAGAUCUAAUAACUCCUCCAUUCUAUUAUCUAGACUCACCGUGUCUCUAUUCUUAAAAGAUGAGGAUGCAGGAAAAUUACGGGCUUUUGCUUCAAACGAUUUGAGCUCAUCAACGAUUCCGGAGUGGAUGUCCUGAACUUGCUCCAUCUGUUGUUUUAUAUCAAUGAUUUUGCUUUGGAGUCCUAGCAGGGCAUCACAAAUGUCCUUGCUGCAUCCGCUUUGACUCGUCUGUUGAGUGAUGUUGAUAGCAAAUGUGUCAAUCACAUUCUCAGAUACGUAUGAAAAGCAAUGAAUUUUGUCAACGAUAGCCUUAUAAUCUUCUAAUUCUGCAAGAGUUUGACCCUCUUCUGCAUUGACUUGCUACAUAAACCAAGCAGUGUUGUAUCCAGAGUCCCUCAGCUAAGAACCAACGAUUUUAAUCUCAGUGUAAAGGUUCUGAAUAGGUUGUUCAGCAGCAUCAGGCGCCGUGAAUUCUUCACUAGCUAGCACCCUUCUCAGUCUCUCUGAAAAUAGUCCAAGGUUGAUGUCUAUAUCUCCUUCACUCUCAGUAGUCAGUAGCCAACAGCCCUAGCAUGGAAAGAAAAUAAUUAUAAAAAAAAUGGCUAAAAGCUCUCCUUUUACUUCAACAUUAGUCAACAUAAUCAACUGAGGAUGGCACCAAUACCUUAUUCUCUCAAGAAGUUGAAUCAAGUUCAGGUGGCUGUCAAAGUAGAACAGAUUAAGGCAGAGCAGUACUGGAAAAUGAAUCUUAAAACUAAAUGCUGCAGGUGCCGUGGGGAUACUGAUUGAUAAGAGGAAUUAUAUUGAGAAAUUAUUGAUGUACAAUAAUGAUUUUCUGCGAAAACCUGAGGUAUAAUGUACAUGUAUAUAAAAUAUUCUUUAUGCUAGAAGAUAAAAGGGUGUCUUAUAAUUUGUGUUUUAUAUAUAUGUGUAUGAAGAAAGUAAAAUAGGCUAUCAAGACUAGUUUCUUUUUUGCCCUCUCAAAAGACUGAAAGAUUAAAAAUAAUUCCGCUGGGACCAUAAAGCUUGCCUAGAGAGAAAAAGCAUCACCUUAGAAUCUGAUUCAUUGAUGCAUCAAAUGCAUAAUAGUCGCCAUUGUUUAGAGAUUUUCUUUUCAAGCGCUUUACAGACUACAACAGAAUACGUAGGGAUGGCAAAACAUCGGGUCGGGCUCGGGCUUGGCCAAACCCAACCCGACCCGAUCAAUAAAGAACUAAAGCCCGACCCUAAAAAAAGCCCUAUCUAUUUAUAGUUAGGGUCGGGUCGGGUCCGACCCGAAUCGGGCCAACAUCGGGUCGGGCUAAGCCCGACCCUACCAAAACCAUUUUCCAAAUGCUGAAAUGUAGCUGCAAGCCUGCAACUUGCAUUUCCAGAUUGCUUAAGCUGCUCGUGUGCUGUCCAAGGCUCCAAGCUGCUCAUGUGAUGUCCACAUGCCUCAAUUAAUUAACCACCAAAGCACUAAAAUGCUAUGCCGUUUUGAUGCUUAUGGAAAUUCCACAAUGGAAUCAAUUUGAAGGUCACACGAGAAGCACAUGACUAACUUAAACAUGAAUAACAAUAAGGCUGAUAUGCAACCACAAUUCAAUUCUCAAUUCCACAAUCAUUUCCAAAACCAUUUUACACACAAAUCAAUUCCAAAAUCCAACAUGAAAAAUACAUAAUACAAUUAAAUUAAAAACACACAAUGUAAUUUUUCAACAAUUCUAACCAAAUCAAUUCCAUAACCCAACAUAAAAAAAAAAGUCUUAUACAAUAAUACAAAUAAAAACUCAUAAUUCAAUUCCACAACCAAACUUUUUUUUUUUAAAAAGAACUACUCCAACACUUGCGGGCCACUUUCAUCUUCAUCCACAAAUUCCUCUCCAUUAAAAGUUUCACUUUCGAGAAUUUUACCUACAAAAAAAAAAAGAAAAUGAGAAAAUAAUUCAAGUGUAUAAAAUUAUUACUAAACCAAUUAUUUUGUACAUUAUUUAUAUUCAUACCUUUGGAGUUUGCCCAUAGCCAAUGUUGAGUGCACAUAAGCGCUUCCAAUGUCAUAGGAUGAAGUCUACUUCGAUGUGGAGUCAAGACUCUACCUCCAGUGCUAAAUGUCGAUUCAGAGGCAACGGUUUUCACGGGAAUGGCUAAGAUAUCCUUGGCCAUUUGAGCCAAAAUAGGGUAUUUGCCUUGGUUCACAUUCCACCAAUUCAGAAUAUCAAAGUCCGAAGUGGAUUUGAUUAAAGGCUCUUCUAAAUACCUCUCAAGGUCGGACUUCGAUACAAUGGUCUCACUAUUUUGGGUUGCAAAUGCCUCAAACUUCUUUAUAUCAAAAAAUUUACGGCCAGUUCCUAAAUUAAAAUUAAAACGAACAUCGGCCGAAGAAGAUUCACCAACAACCGCAUCACUCACAUUCCCACUUUUAAUUUCAUAAAACUUGACCAAAUCGUUACUUAAAUUGCGCACCCUUUGAAUCUCAUUUGCAGCACCCUCACCAUAAAGUUGUGGAAAAUAAUAAUUAACCAAUUGCAUCUUAAACCUCGGAUCAAGAAUAACUGCCAUCACCAAAAUCCCAUGAAUUUGGGCCCAAUAUUUAUCAAAUUUCAUAAUCAUUUGACCAGCCAUUUCUCUAACCACAGGCACACUAUAAAGAUCCCAUUCAUCCAAAUUAAUCCUCAUUUCACAUAUCAUUGGAAAAAAAAGAUUAGAUGUAGGAUAUUGUGUACCUGAAAAUAACUCUGUCAUAGAGUAAAACGGCAGUAAAUAUUCCAACAUCUUUUCAGCCAUCUCCCAUUCCUCAUCUGUUGGCAAAGAGGUGUAGUGUUUAUCGCGCUGCUGCAGUCUAGAAAAGACUAUUUUAUAUUUCACAGCAACAUCAAGCAUAACAUAUGUAGAAUUCCAUCUAGUUACACAAUCAAGUACCAACUUUUUCUCACACUUAACUUGUAAUUGCCGCGCAGCCAUUUCAAAAGUUUCUACCCUCUUUGGUGUGCCUGUCCAAUAAGCCACACUAUCCUAAUCUUUUUAAUCCACUCCUCAAUCACUUUCAUCCCAUCCUUCACAAUUAGGUUUAAAAUAUGAGCCACACACCUCAUAUGAAAAAAAUUCCCACCCAUUAACAUAGAAUCAGCUGGAAUCAAUCCCAUCAAUCUAUCAACCAUAGCAUCAUUGGUGGAACAAUUAUCUAAAGUUACAACUGAUAUCCUUCUAUCCACAUUCCAAUCCAACAUAAAUUUGAAAAAUGCUUCAGAAAGAAAUUCAACGGUAUGUGGAGCCGGCAAAUAUAUAAACCUAUUCAUUACCAAAAAAUUAAAUUUUAGAAUUAAUUAAAUUGAAUUAAAAAUAAGUAAACAUAAUAUCGAUUUUGCAAAUAUAUGAACCUAUUCAUCACCAAAAAAUUAAAUUUUAGAAUUAAUUAAAUUGAAUUAGAAAUAAGUAAACAUAAUAUCGAUUUUGCAAAUAUAUGAAUCUAUUCAUCACCAAAAAUUUAAAUUUUAGAAUUAAUUAAAUUGAAUUUAAAUAAAUAUCAAGUAACAAGAAAAGUACCUUAAAAUUCGACUUUGUAACCGCCAAGACUUGUCCACAAAAUGUCCCGUAACAACCAUGUAACCCUUCUUUUGAUUACUCGCAGUCCACAUGUCUGUAGUAAUUGCCACCCUACUAUCAUUAUUCUCCAACAAAGCCAUUGCUUUUGCCUUUUCAGCUUGAUACAAUUUAAAAAUCUCACUCUUUAAAGUGUUUCUACUCAAAUUCUUCACCAAAGGGUUGGCAUAAGACAUCAAAUCCCUAAAUGCCUCAUAUUCCACAAAAUUAAGUGGCAGCUCAUGCUUUACAACCAAGGUUGCUAUCUUUUGCCGAGCAACAAUUGGAUCAAAUUCUCUCGUCUCAAUACAACUUGUUCCAUCAUCUUUCCUCAUCACGCUAAGAGUUUUUUGUAAGCAAUCAAGAACUAAGGGAACACCCUUUGCCUUACAUGAUUUUUUCAAAUGUCUAUCCAAAUGUGAGGUUCCAUUAUGACCGGAUGCUACCAACUUAGCUUGACAAUGAUUACAUUUCGCCUUCAAUUCACCAUUAAUGGUUACCUUGGUGAAGUGUCCCCAAACAUAAGAAGGUUCCCGCAUACCUCGCUUUUUUUUAUUACUACUUUGUUCUACCCCAUCAUCAUCACGGGAUGUCUCUUCAACUCCUUCAACUUCUUGGACCCCUUCAAGAGGAAUGUCAUCAUUUGUAUCCUCUUCGCCAACAUGAGAAUUCUCAAGUGAAUUUGACAUAAUGACCUAAAUUAAAUGUGUAACAAGUUGCAAUUAAAAUAUAAUAUUUAUGGUAACUACAUAAUCAUUAUGAAUAUAACAAGUUUUAUUGGCCAUUGUGUGUGUGUGUGUGUGUUUGAAUGUCUAGAUAAAUAAAUUAAAUUGAGCUGUAUGUGAAAUUUAUUAUAUUUAUAACAAUUGACUAGUUCACAUGAUGCAGUAAGAAAAUUUUUGUAAACUAGUUAAAAUUUUAGCUGAAGACGUCUUUGAAUCUUCAAGAAACAAAGGGGUAAGAGCAUGUAAAAGUACCAUGACUUUGAAGUAAAAAUGCAGCAACAAGCCCCAAGUAAAAGAAAAGAAAAUUCAUGAGUACAAAGAAAUCAAUUUACAACAUACAGCGGGACAAAAUUAUUAAAUUCGUGAGUACAAAGAAAUCAAUCCCUAAGCUGGUAUAGCAUCCACUGGACUACUCUUUUUAAUCGUUAAUUAAUAUAUAGUUACUGAUCUAUAACAAAUUCUUUCCAUCACCACAAAAAUAAAAUAAAAAUUCAAUCUAGCGGAAUGCAUCUAAUGACAAAAAUUCAUGUAAUUACAACUUAAAAAGCAGUGAAUUGGAUUAUAAUUACAAUUUAUAAUUACAACUUAAAAAGUUCAACAUGACCGAUCGAGGCUGCAGGCUGCUGGUUUUAUGGGUAAUUACAUAACAAAUUGGUCGGAAAUAAUUACAGAACAAAUUGCCAAUUCAUGAGUUCAAUUCACUCACCUAGCGGCGUCGCGGAUGGUCACAAUGGCGGGUCACGAUGGAGAGAAACGCAACAGUGAGAUGCGACAGCGAGACACGACGGUGAGACAACACAACAGUGAGACGCGGCUGAUUGGCUGGCGUGCGUCGACAGUCACGAUGCUGCUGGCUGAUUCGGUGGCGGGCUGGGUGGCUGGCUUAGUGGCUUAGGGUUUUUGAGAAUUUGAGAGCUGUGCCGUGCCGUACUGUGUUGUGUGAUUGUGUCUUGUGUGAUGCAGCUGUUUGUGAUGUGAGCGUGCAGCGUGUGUGAUUUUUUUUUUUUUUUUGCAAAUAGGGUCGGGUCGGGUCGGGUUGGCUUUAAGCCUGACCCUGACCCUAAAUUUGUUCGGGCCUAAAAAUUGUGGCCCGAACCCGACCCGAAACCCGAAAAUUCAGGCCAAAGCCCUAAUAAUUAGGGUCGGGUCAAUCGGGUUAAAAUUAGGGCCGAGCUAAAUUGCCAAGCCUAAGAAUACGUUAUAGUUUGAAUGGUUAGAUGAUCAUUCCUGUUGAUACUGAAAUCUGCUCGCCCUUUGCCCAACCAGAUCUUUUCACCAACGUUUAUAUGAUCAACAGACAAAAUGUCACAUUCUUUCUAUUUCAACGGUUUCUUGAGUUCCUGGGAUUGGAAUCACCAUUUUUUCUUCUCCUAAGCAUGCGUUCACAAGAAUGGAUCAGAGACGCCGGUGGUUUUAUCGGCGUAAACCCUCCGAUGCUUAAGUUAGCACAAGGUGUUUACGGGAAAACUAUGUAAUUUAGAUUGUGUGAUUUCUUGUAAUGCUCUCAAAAAUUUGUAUAGAAUGUAACUUGGUUUCAAUUUGGUAGAGUUUUUCCUUUUUCUCUCAAUUUUUUCUCCCCAUUUUUCAUCAGUUUCCUGACUUCUUAUAGCUGUUGUCCCACGUUUCUGCGUACUCUUUAUGCCCCCAUUUUUCGGGUGAUGGUAGACCUUCAUGGGUCUUCCACCAUUGGAUUGUGGGUAAACGUGGGAUGCCAUGUCUCUCCCAACGGUUUGGGGCAUAACGGAACUGUCGUGAUUUCCUGAGAUCGUGUGCCCUUUCUUUGGGAGAUGGGUAUCUAGUCGGUAUACGUCUCUGGUCGAUAUAUUUCUCUGGUUGAUGCUCAUCUCUAGUUGGCACAUAUUUAUAUAAGACGUUUUACCAGGACUCUUCUCGUGCCAUUCAGCUGAGGAGAUUCGCUUCGGGGUGAGAGAUGAGGGCACGUUUUAUCAGGACUCUUCUCGUGCCAUUCAGCUGAGGAGAUUCGCCUCGGGGUGGGAGAUGAGGGCAUGGCCGAGCUAGUACGUUUUAUUACUUAACACCAAUCCCAGUUUCUGGUCUUGUGAGUGAAACGAGUUGAGAUUAGAAACUGAUAAUCGGAUCUUACCGACCCCAGGAAAUACCUAUCUGGUCUUCGUGUUAUUAUGAUGGAUUUGAGGUUCCGCCUUUUGUUUAAGGAGAUUUCAGUCUGCGUAUGGGCCUUCGUGAUCGUGUCCAAUAUAUAGCUGGGCUAACAUCUCGUCAGGCCUUUUCUAACGGUCAGUGACGUGUCGCUUCUUGCCUUUUCGUAUUUGAAAUUUAAAACGACGACUUAUCUGUCCUCGAUUUACGGCAAGUGAGCUGGCAUCCGUGUAACUUAAACGCCUCCAUUUCCCCUUUCAUUUUAAAUCCCUAAAUUAAAACUGUCAUUGCGUUUCAUUAUUUGCCAUUCUACCGUAAGCCAACUCCCUCCUUGGACUUUAAUCAUACUUUCAGCGUCAGAAACCUUUGUUUGCUGGGUCCUUUCUCCGUCACAGCAAUGCUACUAGUGCCAGUCUAUUCCAAGUAUCGCCUUUAACUUCUUCUCUGGUUGUUGUUGCUUGGGUUCUGUAUUAUCCCUUUUUGUACCCCUAUACUUGGAUUUACUGUGCUUUCCCUUUUAAGAUUUCGAUAUGUCAAACCGAAAGGGAAAAAUAAUUAUAGAUGAGAGUGACGAAGAGAUAGAGGAUUCAUACCCCAACCUAUUUGGACCCAAUGAUCCCCUACGCUCUUCUCGCAGUGUAGGUCCCUCAUAUCAUAAGGAUACCCUUGAAUACCCUCGCCCCAUGACCAUUUUGCCUUCCCCUAAUUUAGAACCCGUGGGAAAUCGUGGUGGACCAGCGUCGGGCUCUGGUGAGAAUCACAGUUCUGGGGGGCUGGGGUCCUUGAGGAAGUGGGUGAAGGUGAGGAGAGUAGUUCCGAGCCGAGCAGACCCUCUAAGAAGAGGAACCUUGGUCAUAGAAUGGAGGCAGAUGCUUACCCCAUUAAUUAUAUCACCUGUGCUACUACCCACACUGACCUACUCAAGCUUAGAAACCUUUAAAAUAUCCCUGAGGAGGUUCUCCUUGUAAUCCCUGGGAAAAGUGACGUCCCCAGUCGGCCUCCCAAGGGGUAUGUGACGAUGCAUCUAGAAAGUUUCAAGCUAGGGGCUCGGUUGCCCCUUCAGCUUUAUUUUGCCAGGAUAUUGGGUGGCAUGCAUCUGGCUCCAGGUCAGCUUCACCCGAACGUGUGGAGGGUUCUUUCAGCCUUGUAUGUGCUAUGGGAAAGGUGUGGACUCGGGGAGCCUUCCCUUGUGGAAGUAAAGCACUUGUAUCAACUGAGGAGCAGCCCAAAAGAGGCUGGCUGGUACUACUUCAUGUCGAGCUCUGCAAAGAGGAAGCCUAUAAGCUAAAAUGUCGACCUCAACCGUAGGCCUUACAAAUCUAAAGUGUCGACCUCAGUUGUAGAUCUUACCAAACUAAAAUGUCGACCUCGACCGUAGAGCUCACAAAGCAAGUGUCAACCUCAACCAUAGGCUUUACAAAACUAAAAUGUCGACCUCAGUUGUAGAUCCUACCAAACUAAAAUGUCAACCUCAACCGUAGGCUUUACAAAACUAAAAUGUCGACCUCAAAUGUAGAGCUCACAAAGCAAAAGUGUCAACCUCAACCAUAAAUCUUACUAAGCUAAAAUGUUGACCUCAGUUUUAGAUCCUACCAAGCUAAAAUGUCAACCUCAACCGUAAAGCUCACAAAGCAACUAUCGACCUCAACCGUAGGCUUUGCAAAACUAAAAUGUCGACCUCAAAUGUAGAUCUUACAAAGCAAGUGUGGACUUCAACCGUAGGCUUUACAAAACUAAAAUGUCGACCUCAAUUGUAGAGCUCACAACGCAAAAGUGUCGACCUCAAUUGUAGACCUUACAAAACUAAAUUGUCGACCUCAACCAUAGGCCUUACAAAUCUAAAGUGUCAACCUUAAUAAAUUGAAAAUUGUAGAACUUAAAUGUUAUGGCUAUGGUCGACCUCAACAAGUUUUCACGUUGGACCUCAACAAGGCCAAAAUGUUGAUCUCAAUCUCAAUAAGCUUGGAUAAAUUUUUCAUGUUCGACCUCAACAAGGCCUAAAUGUCGAAACUCAAUCUCAAUAAGAUUUGAUAAAAAAUUUCACGUUGGACCUCAAUAAGGCCAAAAUGUCUAUCUCAUUCUCAAUAAGAUUAGAUAAAUUUUCACAUUCAGCCUCAACAAGGCCUAAAUUUCGAUCUCAAUCUCAAUAAGAUUUGAUAAAAAAAUUUUCGUUGGACCUCAAUAAGGCCCAAAUAUGCCGAUCUCAAAUAAGACCGGUCACAAGUAGGUAAGAAAUAGAGUUGCACUUCUGAAUAACCUCAUUGAUAUUAAUAUGGCAGAAAUUAAAGAAUUGAACACAUAACGAAUUGAAAUAACAAAGAAACAAACUAUCAUAACAUAUUUAAAGAAAACAAACAAACAAGAACAUCAUAAAUAAGAUUGGCCUACUGAUAGUAUUUUCGUAGGUGCUCUGCAUUCAAUGCCUUGCCGAUGACCCUGCCAUCCGGAUAACCUAACUUAUAUGUGCCAUUACCAAAUGAAUGUAGUACUUUGUAUAGUCCUUACCAGCUCGGCCCCAGAACUUCAUCAGCUGGCUUUUUAGUUGAUUGAUUGACUUUGCGGAGCACCAGGUCCCCCUCCUGAAAUUGUUGUAGCCUGACAUUCUUGUUGUAGAACUUAGCCACUUUUUACUGGUAAAUUACUGCUCGACCUCUUGCCGUCUUUCUCUUCUCAUCAAACAAAUCUAAAUCCAACAACAUAUGUUCCCUGUUUACUAUCUCAUCAUAAUAUUUUGUGCGGUGUGUCUCCAUGCCAACCUCAGUUGGGAUUACUGCCUCAUGUCCGAAAGCAAGCAAGAAUGGAGUCUCCUCCGUUAAAGUCUUCACGGUCAUUCUAUAGGCCCACAGUACUCCUGGAAGCUCAUCCACCCAAGCUCCCUUCUUCUCACCCAACCUUUUCUUCAACAAUUGCUUUAUAGUUUUGUUCGUCGCUUCCACUUCUCUGUUUGCCUUCGGAUGAGUAGGUGAGCUAAAUCAAAGUUCAAUAUCAAGCUGACCACAAAACUUCUUGAAAUUCUCAUUAUUGAAUUGGGUUCCAUUAUCAGUGAUAAUAGCUUGUGGUAGGCCAUUUUUGCAAAUCAUAUUCCUCCAUAUGAAAUAUGUUGUGCGCUUCUCGGUUAUCUUUUGUAAUUGUUCAACUUCAAUCCACUUAGUAAAAUAAUCAAUGGCUACCACCGCGUAUUUCAUUUGGCCUCUCUCGGUUGGCAUUGGUCUGAUAAGAUCCACCCCCCAUUGUGCAAAUGGCCAAGUGCUCCCCAUUGUCAUCAUGUUUUCUGGUGGUCGUCUUACAAUUAUGGCGAACUUUUGGCAUUCAUCACAUCUCUGAACUAACUCUUGUGCAUCUUCAUGCAUGGUCGGCCAAAAAUAACCAUACCUUAUUAUUUUAUGGGCCAAUGCCCUACCUCCGCUAUGAUUUCCAUAAAUUCCCUCGUGCACCUCUCUCAUCACAUUGUUGGCAUCAGCUGAGCCCAAACAUCACAGGUAAGGUAAAGUGUAACUUCUCUUAUAAAGCACACCUUCGAUAAUGGUGCAUCGUGUUGCCUGGCAUCGCAGCCUUCUUACCUCUGCUUUAUCUUGAGGUUGUUCCCCAAAUUCAAUAUACCUCAUGAUAGGCACCAUCUAGUUCUUCUCAUCUUUUACCAUACAAACUUUCAUUUUGGAAUCAGCUAUACAUGGCUUUGAAACUGACUCCAAUAGAAUUCCUCGUGGGAACUUUGGGCAUUCUAUAGCUGCUAGUCUUGCUAUAUAAUCUGUUCGGUAAUUCUUUCCCCUCAGAACUUGCUCCAUUGUAGCGUGAUCAAAACUACCCCAUAGCUACAGUGCUUUGCUCAGAUACUUGGACAUGUUCUCACUUUUGGCUUGAAAUGUCUCAUUCAGGUAGUUCACUACCAGUUGAGAGUCAAUCUUCACCUUCAAAUGUCGAACUCCCAAUGCUCUUGCUAAUUUUAGACCCGCAAUGAGAGCUUCGCAUUCUGCUUCAUUGUUUGUAGGAUGUAAUUCAUACUUGAGAGCGUAGCAUACUUCUUCCUAGUCGGGCGAAACAAGAACAAUUCCCCCGCCUGACCCUUCUGGGUUUGCAGCUCCACCUACAUUAAGCUCCCAUACAUCAUUAUUCUUCUCUGCCUCUUUAAUCUCCUGCUCGGCAUCCAUCUCUUCACUCUCUUCACUGUAAUCAUUAAUGAAGUUGACCAAAGUUUGUGCUUUAAUUGUUGACCUCGAUCGGUAACUGAUGUCGAAUUCACUUAGUUCUACCGACUACUUAACUAGUCUUCCUGAAAUGUCCGGUUUGUGCAAAAUUUGUCUCAAAGGUUGAUUAGUGACUACCACGAUCUCAUGAGCUUGAAAAUAUGGCCUCACCUUUCUUGCGGCUACAACUAAAGCCAUCACCCACUUUUCUACAAUAUGAUAUCUUACUUCUACCCCUGUAAGAGAUCUGCUCAUGUAGUAUACAGGUCGUUGUACUUCAUCUUUUUCUUUUACCAUGACUGAGCUAGUUGAAUAAUUUGAGACCACCAAGUAGAUCAAGAAAACAUCACCCACUAAGGGCUUCGCCAAAGUGGGUACGUUGGCCAAAUACGCCUUUAAAUGUUAAAAUGUUGUCUCACAUUCUUCCGACCACCUCAAUCUUUUUCCUUUCUUUAUCAAUUUAAAAAACAAAUGGCAUUUAUCUGAUGAUUUCAAAAUGAACCUACUCAGCGCGGUAACUUUUCCAGCUAAGCUCUGAACAUCUUUACGAUUCUUCGGCGACCUCAUCUUGAGGAUGACCUCUACUUUUUCCAGAUUAGCUUCUAUCCCCUUUUGACUAACUAGGAAGCCCAAAAAUUUCCUUGAUUCUACUUCAAAGACACACUUUGCCGGAAUCAACUUCAUCUGAUUCUUUCGUAGCACUUCAAACGUCUCACGCAAAUGCGUUGUAUGUUUGACUGGCUCAACAGACUUGGUUAUCAUGUCAUCUACAUAUACCUCCAUCGUUUUACCAAUCAAGGGCUUGAAAAACUUGUUUACCAAUAUUUGAUAAGUAGCUCCAGCAUUUUUUAAUCCGAAUGGCAUCACAUGGUAGCAAUACAAUCCUUGAUCAGUCACAAAAGCUGUCUUUUCUUCAUCUGCUGUGGACAUACGAGUCUGGUUGUAUCCUAAGAAUGCAUCCAUAAAACUCAUCAAGUCAUGCCCGACUGUUGAAUCCACUAACUAAUCAAUCUUUGAGAGAAGGAAACUAUUUUGAGGACAAACUUUGUUGAGGUCGGUAAAGUCCACACACAUCCUCCAUUUUCCAUUCGCCUUUUUAACCAUUACCACAUUCGAAACCCAUUCUAGAUAGUUCACUUCCCUUAUAAAUCCCACUUUCAACAAUUUAUCUACCUCAUCAUGGAUGGCCGCAUACCUUUCCUGGUUGAACAUUCUUCUUUUCUGCUUCACUGGCUUAUGUUUUUUUAUCUAUAGCUAACUGGUGACACAUGAUUCGUAGGUCUAUUCCCGGCAUAUCUUCAUGUCUCUAAGCAAAUAUGUCAUUAUACUCCACUAAUAAAUUCUGAAGCUCAUUGGAAAUGUCAUCUGUUAUCUUUGUUCCCACUCUUACUACUCUGCUUAGAUCAUCCUCACUUACUGGCACUUGUUUCAUUUCUUCAUUAGGUUGCUGUUGGCAUAACCUAUUUUCAGCUCGUGGAUCAAUACUUGUGAUCUGUAUGGAUUCUCUCGCAAUUGUAGUGUAACAGCUUCGAGCCACUUGUUGUUGGCCCCUCAUCACUCCAACUCCACCUUGAACUCUAAACUUCACACAUUGCAUAUGAGUUGAGCUCACUGCUCCUGCUAUCCUAUUGAACGGUUUGCCCAAAAUAACUUGAUAAGGGCUUGGCUCAUCAACUACCAAUCAUGUCACCAUCAUUGUCUUUAGUAACCUCUUAUCUUUUAUUGCAGCAUAUAUUUCUGCUCUGCUCGUGUUCAGUGGUGUGUAUCUUCCACUCUGUUCUAAUAAAUUCACCCCAUUAGCAGGUCUCGAUCCUCUCCGGUCUACAGGUGGUGGCAACCUAUUGUAAUCUCUUACUUGGUUCUCCCGUUGGUUCCUCAUAUAAUUAUUUCCUCCAUCUCGGCCUCUUCCUACUAAUGAGAUUCCUCUUCUUUCACGUUUUCCUUCCCAAUUUCGACCCGACCUUUCUAGUUGUCUAUAAUUAAACAACCCUUUGUCGUAAUGACUCCUAUCAUCUGUGUUCAUCCUCGAGCUAUACCCAAAGUUAUCUCCUCUCCUUCUCAGGUCUCCCCUUCUCACCGAACCCUCUGUCUGCAUUUCCAUUCUCCUAUUUUCUUCCUCUGCAUCUUCAAUUUUCAUAUCCAAUUUUUCUUGGUCGUGCGCCUUAGUAUAUGUUGUUAUCCUCUUACUAUAUAAGCUAUUCCACAAUCGAUUGAUUCUCAACCCCUUCUUUAAUCCCUCUAGAGCAUCCGGGUGAUCAAAGGCCCCUAGAUCGGUAGCCUCCUUAUGAUACCUGGUCACAAAACUCCUCAAACUUUCAAAUUCUCGUUGGACCAAUUUUUUCAAUCUGCUCGUAUCUUGCUCUGGUAUGCAUGAACCUCUAAAACGCACAACGAAAAGCUCACAUAACUCCUUGAAAUUUUCUAUGCUUCCCUUCUUUAAUCUUCGGUACCACUCCCGUGCUUGUCCUUCUAAGGUUAAAGGAAAAACACAACACCUUUGAAAAUUAUUCAAACCUUGGAUCCCGUUCAUCUUAUUAAACUUCUCCACGUGAUGAUUCAGGUCAGUUUUUCCUUCAUACACCAAGGCUGGAACCACAUACUUGGAUGGCAAAGUUACCACCAUCACUUUACGUACCAAGAGGGACUCGUCAUCAAGUAACAACCUUCCUAUUACUUUCUUGCCCUCUGUUUUCACCUCUAAUGCCUCUAGUGUUUUUUGAAAUUGCAGCAUUCGCUGCUCAAGCUCAUUUGCCUGGUGGGCGUCUCUCAACUCUUCCAUCUCCCUUUCUUGAUUCAAGUCAUUGAUUUUCCAUCUCAACUCAUUCACUUGUUCUCCUACACUUCUAUUCUCUUGUCGUACCCCAACUUAUGGUAGUCCCUUUCCGCUCUGCUGUUCACCACCAAGCUCUUCCAUCUCUCAUGUUCUACUACUCUCUAGGUCACUAGCUCGAACUUGAGCACCUCUGACUUGGGCAUCAACCAACCCCCUGAUCAUCUCCUCAAAUUUUGCCAUGUGCCUCUCGAUCCCUUCUCUCCAUCUCUUAUCUGUCGUGGCAUUCAUUUCCUCUGCCAAUUGGCGCAAGGUCUACCUAUUUCCAUCAUUAUCAUCCAUUGUUGUUUCGUAAUCUGAUAGCCUUCUCCUUCUAAAUCUUCAAACGUAUGGCUUUUCGUACCUUUCCUCACAGACGGCGCCAAGAUGUUGAUGCUGAAAAACGACCUCAACAGCUGAAUUUGUUUUCUUUUGGGGAAUUACAGUGCGAAUCCAAGCUCAAACGUCGGUCUGAACCCAGCUUUAUAUUCCUGACAACCAGAAAACACGGUUAGGAUACGCCGGUGGGGUCCCGGCGUAGACCCUCCGAUGCUUAAGUCAGAAAUUGUGUAUAAGAAAAAGGUAAAUGAGAAGGGAGAAUUGUGAAAAGCGAAAAUUAAGGAAUUUUUUCGGUAGAGAAAACUAAAAAUCUUGUCGGGAAUCCUAAGACUUUUAGAGAGGUGACUUAUAGAAUUUUUGGUUCAUUUUUCUAACCCCUUCCUCAGUUGCCCCUUUCAGCUUAAAUAGGCCCUUGGUCGUGGGUGGUUACCACCUUUAACUUCUGCCCACUGUCUUCAGCAGUUGCACGUGGUCAUCAGUUGGAGACGGUUUAAAUGGAUCGUGGCACACAACUUUUCGAGAAACUAGGCCACGUUAUCUCAACCGAUAGCUUUCUAUGUCAAGCUAAUUCUCGGGUCGGACAAAUAAAUUUCGAGGUCGGAUUUCUUCACUUUCAGAUCGGACCGAUGAAUUUCCUAGUUGCUCAUAUAGGCUUAAGGUUGUAUUCUUAAAUAAGGUCAUUUAUAUAAAUCUCAGGUCGUACUUGUAAAUCAGGCCGCCAACAUAGGCUCCAGGUUGUACUUACGAGGUUAGCUCGACGACAAUGAGUUCUGAGUAGAUUGGGGUCGACUAUAUUUCUAAACAUUACUAGAAAAAUCCAACCCGAACAAUGUUGACUCUUUCUAGAGGUUAUCAGAAAAAUCCAACCCGAACAUUCAUAAAUUAUUAAUCUAAACCUGCUGGUUUUGAUCCAAUUUCUUCUAUGGUUUUACUUGUUUGUUUUAGAGCUAAGUACAAGAUCAUCCAUUGAUCUUGUCUCCAUUGGUCUUGAUUGAUCUUGGGGUUUCAUUUGAUCUAUGAAACCUUGGAUUGUUUCAAAUUUUCUUCUCUGUUUCAUUGAUGAAUCCCGAUGGCUAUACAAAAUCGUCUUUCCUCUACUGCAAGCAGGGGCUUUGGGGCGACUGCAAGGAACUGGGAUGAUGGUACGUGUUCAAGCGUGCAAAUUUGCAGAGAAUGAAUUGAGCAAGUGUUGAUUGUGCCUCCAGCACUUCUCAUUUUUGCUCCAGCAAAACUCCAUGACUAGUUGUUCUAAGAACUUCUCAGCAGUUGACUCAUUAUUGUUUGGACUGAAACCUUCAGCUACCCACAAUUGAUACAAUUAAAGUUUCAAGAAAAAAAAUAAUGUGAAAUGGUAUUAAAUCCUCUUACAAUUUGAACUUAUAUGGGUUUUGAAGAAUCUUAUGAUAUAUGUGUAUUUUUAUUUAUAUACAAUCAAGAUUUAUUCAUUAUUUUAUUUCAUAUAAUAACACAUAAUUACAUAAUUGUAGUAGCUCAGAUCGGUAUAGAAUCCUAAAAUGUGGAAUAUGCAAACAUUUGAUACUCACUAGAGAUAUGCCAAGUAUCUAGCCAAUUCUUUUCUAAUGACACAAUUCCAUGGUAGAAGAUGAGAAAAGGCCGUCGGUAACUUUUAGUGGUACUCCUGCAGGCACUAACUUAAUCCCAGUGUUCUCUCCAUUUUUCAGUUGGAACGAUGUGAGCAAGUCUAUUUGAGAAAGCUAACAGUCUAAUUCAAUAAUGGGCUGAAGAUCUUUUUCUAAUUCUCCAUCAGUUUUGAUCUUUUUCAGCAUUUGAUCGCAGCAUAAUCCAAGUUGUGUUGUUUCCACAAGCACUCAGCAAAGAAGUAACGAUUUCUUAUCUCUGCGUGAAGGUUUUGAAUAUGUUGUUUAGCAACCUCGAGCAACGUGACUCCGUCCCUUCCCGUCUCAUCACGCGGUAGUCCUAGCAUGCAAAGUAAUUAAAAGACAUCAUGAUAAAAAAAUAAAAAAAUAAAUCUUUAGAUCUCUUGAUGAAUAAUGAUAGAGGAGCAACUAUCUUGUAUAAAUAAAUUUGUACAGACUGAUGUGAUAUGAAAAGAUUAAUUGUAUAAAAAUAACUUUAGCUGUUGAUGAAACUCAACUCCGAUUGACACACUAUGAGUGAUAUCUAAUUCUCUAACUAAUCCAGCAGGAAGUUGCUAUUCAAAAAAUUGAAUAAAGAUUGGUGACCAAUCAUUAUGUAAAAGGAAUAGAAAGAAAAAUUUUAUAAAAUGCAAAUUAAUUAAUGUUUAGCUUUUAGGAAAGGAGGUUAGUGCAACUUGGAAAGAUUCUAUCUAGAAACCAUCAUUUUACGAAUUAACCUGUUUGUCAAUGCAUUUCUAAAUGGAAGAUAGUUGGUCCUGGAAAAUGAGCCAAAUUGUGCUUGUGCUCAAAAUAACAUUUGCUAAAUGCUAAUGUAAUUGCUACCGAAACGCUAGCUUUCAUUUUUUUUUCUUUCUUUUUAUCUGAUUUUUCAUCAUAUGAAACGUGAGAGUGAAAUCAAAACUUGUGAAUAAGAUUCAAACAUGUACAUAUAGUGGAUCUAACAAAAUAAUGAAAUGGAAUUAUUUUGUCGAUAAUUCAAAUAAUAAAGCACCUAUUUUUUCUUAGAAUAAUCACAAACUUCAAUAUGCCGAUGAUAUAUAUCUUAUUGAGAUUAAAAACAACACAAGCAACCUAUUACGUGAAAGGAAUAGAAAAAAAAAAAAGGAUGUUGAAUUUUAUUCAACGUGGGUAUUAAUGGAUGAAUGAUUUUGGUAGAAUUGAAGUUUUUUUUUUUUAAUGCAAAGGCUAUAAGGAUCAUUUUUAAUGCAAACGGGGAUUUCUCUGCUGCAAAAGACGGCUUUGGUAUGAUUGUAAGGAAUUGAGAGUGAGCAGCACAUCCUGCGUGCCAUCAAAUUCUUUGCACUACAGGCACCCUCUGCAUGCUGUGGAGGGAAAAAUAUGAAAACCAUUACAACUGCUCUUCGUUCUCUUAAUCCAUUGGGGCUGCUAAUCAAUCAAUAGAGAAAGAAUUCAGUCAUCAAUUUUGACAAAGCUUCCAAAACGUACAACACUAGAGAUAAAAUCUUCCACUUUCAGAACUUUACUGGUUAAAUCUUCUGCUCCAAAUCACCAAGGAUUAGUGCUGGUUUUCGAUUUUACAUGGGCUGUUGGACAACCUAAAUUGAUAAGGGCUUAAUCUCCAAAUAUCUGAAGAAUAUGAAGAUUAGGCAAUAUGCUCCAGUUUCUUUUUGUUGCGUUUAAUCCUCUAACAGUACCAAGAUCAAACACCCUAGACCAUCUUUGAUUUGAUGUAUGAAGACUCAUUCUCAGAAAUCCGAACUAAAAAUUGAAUCAAAGUGCCUACAUCCAGUGAAGAACAAGGAUACAAGUUGUCAAGCUUUCACUAUUUCACAAAUCAAGGUUACCAGGAUGUAGAGCUUGUUACAGAGAACAAGAAUAUACAACUUUUUAUUUCAACUCUCUCUCUCUCUCUCUCUCCAUAGCUUUGAUGAGAUUUGAGAAGAUGGCCCAUCAACCAGCCUUAUAAACUACGAUAAAGGCUAUCUCUAACAAUCCUUGAAUUUUCCUGCACUUAUUUAACUAACCCCAACUCAAUUCUGACCAGCACUCUGACCCUUAUUAUGACCGACACGUCGGUGAAAUUCCAAAAAACCGAACAACAAUGUCGUUCUGCCAGUGUUGACAUGAUGAGAUGAGAUCACAUCACAAAUACUUUUCUUCUAACUGAAGUACUAAGCUUGAAGUUGAACUGUACCGCUACUUAAAAACUAGAGGAAGAAAUAAAAUAAAAAUAAAAACAAUAACAAUAACAUAUAUCAAUUUGAAUGUUGACAAAUUGAAUACACACAAGUGAAACUGAAAAUAGAAAGUAAAACAAUUAAUCAGACUUUUGCACAAUAUAUUAAUCCGAACAUGACAUUAUUACUUUUAGCAAGCAAAUCCUUGAAAACAAAGAAACCAAACAAAGUGUGGACAACACAGCAGCAGUGAACACUGAAAGGAUGAAGGCUGGAUUCUGGUUGAAAUUGAAACUUUGGCUGCAGUGCAGUUAAGAUAGUUUCUGCUCUGCUUUUACCUACACAUACAACUAAUUGAAGAUCGCAUCAUACAGUUUUUAAUGAAUGGUGUCAGCAUUAGGAACUGUGAUGGACACAUCGAGUUUAUGUUAAGAAUGUAGAAAACACUUUAUAGUACGAUUAUAGUUUAGGCAUUUGCGCACUAUCAAAUCUGUUGUAGAGAAGAAAACAUUUAUAUGAAAUUAGAUCAAUAAUUAAAGGUUGAAGUUAUUGGAGAAGAAGAUAAAACUUACAUCAAAUUCAAUCGGGGCUAAUCAAAUUCCGUAAGGAUAUAGCCGAACACCAUACUGCUCCUUAUCCUCGAAUUCCCGUAGCUUUGUCUCAGCUCCGGCUGCGGCCACCAACACUCGAAAUUGUUUAAGCUCUUUAUGCCCCAGAGCUGUUCAGGAAACAUUUUCAAGUAAGCACAAGGGUUGAUAAUCAAGCAUUCUAGUUUUGGCAUGACUGCAAUCCCCAUAGUCCACUCCUCUAGCCAUAGCAUUGAUUUCAGGUGCAACACCUUGAGGUUCGGAAAACCAUAAGAGCCACAAGUCAGCUUUCUACCUGAAUACGAGUUUUGCUUCAGUUUGAGCACUUGAAGAAGCGGCAGCUUUUCUAGUGCCGGCAUGGGAUCAUCCAUUAGGUCAGUAUUAGAAAAACUCACGUGGGUUAGACUAUGAGGAAAUAGGUAUUCAGCAAGGACGAUUUUGUAGAGCCGUGGCAUCUUGCUUUUAUUUUCCAGCUUCAAUGACUCGAGAUUGCUCAAUCCGCAGAGACUUUUGGAUAACAAAGAUUGAUAAUAACUAAAAUCUCCCCGUAUCUGGAGAUUUCAAAGAUUAGGUAGUCUGGCCAGUAUAUCUUCAGUACAGCAGCAAGGAUUCAAGGCUGAAAUGAAAUUGAGAUUUUCCAGAGAGCCGCAAUAUUUUCCUGGAUGCGCAGGAAGUGUGAUUGAGCCAAAAUUUAGAUGCCUGAGUUUGUUCAUAUUCCAAAAUUCAUCUGCUGUAUGAUCUAUGUAGCUAAAGGGCAUGUCUAGGGUGUAGAGGUUCAGAAGAUUGCUAAAUAAUGAUGAAGGCAGGCUUUUGAGGGAAGGGAUAUUCAACUUCAAAUAUCUCAAAAGGAAUAAAAUUUCAAUUCCGAAUGGAUACUGGAUGAGAACAAGAGAUCACAAGUCCAAUACUUUGAGAAGUUUGAACAUUCCACAAAUUUUCUCCCAAUCCAUGGGGUCAAAGUGGCGGGUUUCUGGAGAGCAGAACAACAAAGACUGCAGUUGCAAGUCAUAAUCAUCUAAGCAAGCGAAAUCACCCUCUCUUUCAACAGCGUUUAACCGUUUGAAUUUUUUUGGUGAUUUACCUUCUGGAUCCAUGAAAGGGGAAGAGAUAAAUUCCACCAUAUAAGGAACUGACAUCAACACAGGAUGGCAACAGCUACGAAUAGAGCAUGUGUUGAUAGUGCCUGCAGCUUUUCUCUUCUUUGCUUCAACAAAGCCUCCCUUGAUUAGUUGUUCUAAGUAAUUCUCAGCAGUUGCCUCACUAUUGUCUAGGAUGAAACCUUCAGCUAUCCACAACUAAUAUAACUGCCUGGUGGAUAUCUCUAGGUGUGCGGGAAACACGGAUAAGUAGAGAAAACAAAGUUUCAAGCAAAAAGGUAACUUGCAACAUGUGAAGCCUACAAUCCCAACGGGUGUAUCCAAUACUUCCUCUAUAUUUUCUUCUAAUGAGAUGCUUCCAUGAUAUAAGAUGAGGAAAGGCCAUCCUUGGUAAGUAACUCUCAAUCGUCCUCCAGUGGGCACAAAAUCAAGCCGAAUGUUCUCUCCGUUUUCGAACUGAAAUGAGGUGACCAUCUCAAUUUGAGUGAGUGUUAUUAAUACUCGACUUCCAUUCUGAUUAUCUGGAAGUAUUUCUCGAAUAACAUCCAAUACAUCAGUGCUCCACACGUCAUCAAUCACAAUCAAAUACUGCUUGGUCAUUAGAUAUUCAUGAAGAAUGAUUUUUUUCAUUUCAUAAUUUUUAUCCUCUAUUUCACUCAACCUAGAUGAAGGCAUUAGAAACUUAAUAAUGAUAUCUAAUAUUUGGUCAGCUUCAUACGGAUAAGGCUCCCGAAUCCAAGUGUGACAAUCAAAAUAAUGCUUCGCAUAACUGCUGUUGUAAGCCUCUCUGGCGAAAGCCGUCUUGUCCAACCCAAUGCUAUCAAGUAUGACCACCACUGAAAGCUGAGGUGGUCCCUCAAUCAACAGAUCUAACAACUCCACCAUUCUAUCAUCUAGACCCACCAUUUCCCGGUUUUUAGAAGAUGAAAAUAUACCGGCUUCAGCUUCAAGAGUUUUGAUGUCGUCCAUGAGGUCGGAAUCCAUGUGCUUAAGUUGUUGCAUCCGUUGCUUAAUAUCAGUGAUUCUGCUUUGGUGUCCUUGCAGAGCAUCACAAACGUCCUUGCUGUGGCUGCUUUGAAUCUUCUGUUCACUGAUGCUGUUGAUGAAUGUGUCAAUCACCUUCUCAGAUUCAUACGUAAAGCAAUUGAUUUGAUCCAUAAUGGUCCCAAGAUCUGGGUCAUCAAUUUCCUCUUUUCCUAUUUGUUGCACCAGAAGCCAGGACGUUUCAUAUUCAGAGUCCCUCAGCCAGGAAGUAACGAUUUCAAUCUCGGCGAGAAGGUUCUGAAUAGGUUGUUUUACAGCAUCAGGCAACGUGGCUUCUUCACUAGCUAACACCCUUCUCAACCUCUCUGAAAAUAGUCUGAAGUUGAUGUCCAUAUCUCCUCCUCUCUCAGAUUCACCCUGAAAUCAGUCCUGUACCAUGCAAAGAAAUAAUUAAAAGAGAGAGGGGAAAAGGAAAAUAUGCUUUAAAGCUCUCAAUUCAAACAUUAGUGCUGGCUCCCAUACCUUCCUUCUCUUCGCUAGUUCUCCAGUCAAGAAGUUGAAUCAAGAUCGUUGACUCUCAAAUUAGAACAUAUCAAGGCAGAAUCUUACAAUAAUCUCGUCUUCCAUAUGAUGAAAAAAGAAUAAAGCAGAGAAAAAUAAACAGGACAUCGUCAAGUACCGAUCAAGACCGAUUUGUUUUAUACAUCCACUUUUGAGAAAGAAAGGAAGGGAUAAAAACAAUUCCACUGGGACUAUAAAAGCUUGUCUAAAAUGAAGAGAACAGAGUAAGCACAACAGCGUUAUCAAUUAUUUAAUAAUUAAGCUGUGGAAAAAUGCAAAAUCAUGUCUGGUGGGUUAAAUUUAUUGCGAGACUUGCAUGUAUGUAUAUCACAGAUAAAAUUUUUAUCCCAGGGUUAUAAAUGUAAAAUUACUCAAAUAAAUGUGCAUUAUUAAUCAUGUACGGUGCUAUCUUAUUUCUUCAACGAGAUUUAGAGAAAGUACUAAAUCGUUUGUAAAACUACAUACAUAUCCCGCAGAAAGUUGGAGAUCUUUUUAGCAUUCUUUUUUAAGAAAUGAAAAUUGAUAAAAAGUUCUAAUGUGACAAAAAAUAAUAAUAAAUUGUGCAAUCUUACAAUGUUAACUGAAAAAUAGUUAUAAUUUUUUAUUUAACAUUUUAAAUUUUAUUUAUAGUUGUUUUGUCGCCAUUGUAUGGUUCUUUGAUUCAAAUAUCAAUAUUAUAUGAACCCUCACCAUUUUGAAAGGAUUACAUCUUAAAGCACUAUUUAUAAUUAUGUUCAUUUGAGCCCUUAGUGUUAAAAAUAUAACAAUCCAUCAAAUGAAAUCAAUGAUAAUCGAAUUCCAAGUAGGAAUCGCAGAAAAAUCCGAUCUAGGUAGAGCAUGUUUUCGAAGUACUCUGGCUGGAUUUGGACUUUGGUUAAAAAACCCGAACCCAGCUCGAAAGCUCAAAACAAUUGAAAAUUUUUUAAAUAUAUGUUAUUUUAAUUAAAAUACAACUUUUAAUAUAUUUAAUCCACUCAUAGCAUAUAUUUAAAGUUUUAAAUCAUUUGAGUCCAACUUUUAAAGCCUAGUCUAACAAAGAAGAAACUAAAUUUUAUAAACUAUAAAUUUGUAAACUAUAAUGAAAAAAGUUUUUUUUUUUAAAAUGGAAUGUAUACUUCAGACUUUUUGGCUUGGCUUGAGAGAAAAAGAAAGAAAAAAAACAUGUUUUGCCAUCCCUAAUUCCAAAGCUUUAAAGACUUCUCCAAAUGUAUAGUACAACAUUGUAUAGGACCAAUCACACGGAGAUGAUUUGAAUUUUUUAACACAAUUUUAAUGCAUAUCAGAAGAGAGGCAGCAAUCUUAGUUGAUACUUUUAUUUGACAUAUGAUGUAAGAAAUGAAGCAAAGAUUGUAACGUUACAAACUUUGCAAUUCAGCAUCCAAAAUAUCACUAGAACUUGAAAUACAAGCUUUAAUCUCUUCAACAACACGUCGAAUUGCGGCCAGGAACACAGACGCAAAGAUGGGUAUCAAGAUCACAUUCAAACGAAUGACAGGGAUUGUCACAGUCAGCAUUGCUUUUACAAGUGACUGCUUUUGAUUCCGGCUGGGCAUCAACUGUCGGCAUGGAAAUAUGAAACAACAUGCCUACAUAUAUAAAUGUCAAACAAUUAAUCAGCCUAAUGGUAGUAACACACAUGCAUAUAUAAAUGCCAACCAAUUAGUUGUCAUAUUAUAGUUAAUUAUUGAUGCAGCGGAAGUUUAAUGUUUAAAUAUUCCGUUGAUUUUAGAGAAUGCCAGAAUAAAAAAACAAUUAAAUUCACAUUGAUUUAAAAGAAUGCCGCGAAUUUAGGUGUUAAGACUCGUUGAUUCCACAGAAUAUCGAGAAUUAACUGAAUUCAAAUACUGACACAGAGUUUUGAAAACUGAAAUAUUAUUAAACUCGAAUCUCUCUACUUGUAAAAGCUGCAAAAGACACUUAUUUAUACUAACCGAGACUUAUCCUAAUUUGAUUAGAAAACAUAUUUUAAUAAGACUUAUACCUAAAUUAUGAAUAUUACCCAAAUAAGCAAUACCUAAAAAUUAAGACUCUAAAUAAGAAACCAAAUUAAAUUAGAAUACAAAUUAAUUAAAAUGUAAGGUACAAUUUUUUCACUUAAAUAUAAUAUAAUUUACUUUAAGCUAACAAGCCCCUUAAGUAUUAAAAUAAUAAUAAUAUAAAAUAUUUAAUUCUAAGUAAUGAUGACAUAAACAAUGACAUAAGUAGUGAUGAUAUAAAUAAUGACAUACGUGAUGACGUAAGAGAAGUAUAUAGAGAAAGUUAAGAAUUCUAGAAUUUAGUAAGGUAUUUAUGAAGAAUAAUCUCAACUAUUGAUCAAGAGUUAUGGUGGCAAAAUUCUAUCCAUCCAUUAACCUUAAGAAAUCCUAUAAAUACCACCUACCCCAUUUCAUUUUCAAUGCAACCUAGAAAUUUCACUCUCUUCUAUUCUAAGUUAUAACAUCAAGAGUAGAGAAAUUCUCAAUUUAGAUAGGUCUAGAGAAGUCAAUGCCAUGAGGUAAGUAACACUUCAACUACAAUGUAAGGACAAAAAAAAUUUCAUACUUAACUUUAGUUUUAACCAUUCGUUUAUGUUAUGAUGCCUAUUAUGAUAUGAUUAGUUAUAAUCUAAAUUCUUAUAUGGUCGAUUCUGCUGCUUAAUCUAUGAUACUUAGUUACAUUAUGGUCGGCUCUUAUGCCUAAGCUAUGAUACUUAAUUAUGUUAUGGUUGGUUCUACCAUCUAAUUUGUGAUACUUAUACUUAAUUAUGCUAUGGUCGGCUAUGCCGCCUAUAUUAAAGAAUCUUGUUCUUAAAUAGUGUUGUGUGUUGAUUUUGUUAUGCAUCUAGGAAUUUCAAAUGUUAUGACAUAAGUUGCAUUGGAUACAUGCAUAUCAUGGAUUACAUUAUGAAAAAGAUGUUUCAGAAAAUGAAUUUAUGAAAAAUAGGUGGUUGUACUACCAAUUAGCAAAGUUUUUAAGGAGGGUAAGCCCCCAAAGCUAAGUAAAAAAAAAUCUUUUGGGGAUGACGAUACGUAACGCCCAAAAGAUCAACUAAUAAGGCCCAAGGGCAUAUUGUUUAAAGAGUAAAAGUGUCAGCCUUGCAGUGCAACAUACCUAGAGCCCUAAUGAAAUUGUUUUGUAUUUUCUAAGUUUCUUUUAAAAGCUUAAUAUGGUCAUCCAUUUGCAUCAUAAUUUAUGCAUGCAUAAAAGUGUUAUCUUACUGGGUAUUAGCUCAUAAAGUCCUUACAUUGCAGGUAACAAUGAGUAGGGCAAGCUGGAGCCAAGUCCUAACCAAGACGAAGUACAUAUGGGCAUAGCAGACCUUGGGAUUUUAUGAUGAGCUCAGCUUUGUUUCAUUAAAAAAAAAAAUAAGCAUCUUAAUUUUAUGUAAUAAUAAAGUUUUUAUACUAAGAAGUUUCUGUAUGACUUACUUUUUGUAAGAAAGUUUUGUUUGUUGUGAAUUUUUGUUAAUCUGUAUUUAUAAAAGCACAGUAUUUAAAGCAUCUUUAAAAUGAAUAUUUAAGUGGAGUUUUAUAUAAAAUAUUCCUAAAUAUUAUAAAUUUCAAUGUAAUUAGAGUUUCUUCAAUUUCUUACUCUGCAUCAUUCCCGCCAAAAUGGAGAAAAUUUGCCCUCAAAUUUUGUAUGUUGUAGUCUUCAAGAACAUCUUCAUGUGCAUAAGGAUUAAUUUUUAAAACAGGGCUUCGAUAUAGACGAAAAACUGUAAAUUUUCCUACUUUUGCAAUAACGUCCAUCCAAUCACUCUAAUGGCGUAAAAUAAAUUCUUCUAUCAACAAUUUAUCUAAUAAUGUCUUCUCGUAUUGUUCGUGUCGAACUUCAACAUAGUUGAGGAAAAAUGAUUUCUUCACAUAAUACACUAACUGUUGAAAAAUAUCACAACUAUUUUUGUCUUCUUUUGGCAAAUCAAGAGAACAAUAAGAGAUUGUAUCAACAACUACCUCUUUUUGCUCCAGAAGAUCAAAAGAUGUAGCCACAAUAUCAAGAUACUCAUCAAAUUUCGGUAGUUGAUCCAAAUCAAUGUCUUUUUGUUGAGAAUUUGUUGUAGACACCAAUAGCUAAUUAAUAUUCUCCCCGGAGGGAAUAAUAUUGUUGAGUGAAACAAAGUUACUAUUUUCCUCAUUAUCCUUAUAACAAACAUCAUCACGAACAACUUCAUCAAAUCCAUAUGUCUGCUUUAUGUGUAAAGAUUUUCUAUCUUGAAGUAAUCUUGAGAAAUCAAAUGCAAAAUCUUCAACAUCCUAUUUAAAACUUCUUUCAAGACAAAAUCUUCACGGCGAUGUUGUCAUUUCAUGAUUCAAUUGUUUUUCUUCUUUUCCUCCUUUUUUCGGGUGUUUGUUUGGGUUUCAAUUUUUUGGCUAAGAUCAGAAAAUUAAAGAAAAAUACUGAAAUAGAAGAAAGUACUGGGCCAAGGCUGAAAUUAAGCAAAAGUUUUAGAUUUCCUGUGACGGUGGUCGGAAAUCGAGCAAGGAUGGGUGGAUUUGAAAGAUUUUGGGCUGGUGAGUAUGAUGGUGGUGGUUGUUUGUCCGAAAAAGUGGUGUUUUGGCCAGAAAUUAUAGAUAAAGUCGGCAGUUUGAGGGCUUCGAUUUCCGGCGGUGUGAGCUCGAUUGGCGGUGAUUAAUGCUAGGAAAAGUUCAGCUGAUGGAGAGGAAUGGGUUGAUGGUGGUGCUUCUGGCCAUAUUGCACCGGAAAGUGGUGAACGGACGUGGUAGAAAUCACGGCAGUUUUGGCUUUUUUUCCGGCAACCUGUGGUUAAUCUACAGUGGAAGAUGCUUGGGGUUUGAUGGUUGGCGAUUUAUGAUCCGAAUGGUAGUGGUUGCGUCCGGAUCGGUGACGGAAAACUAAAGCCAGCAGCCUUGGACGGUGGGCGCGGGUUGAAGCUUUUGCUUCCGUUUUGGUUUUUUUUUCUUCUUCUUUUUUUUUUAUAAAGCUAAAUGGAAAAAAAUAAAAAAAGGAAAGGUUUGGUGGUAGAUGGGGUUAGAUUGGUGAUAUCAGAUUUUAACUCUAAUUUUAAGCUGAUGUAAUGGAAGUUUAAUGUUUAAAUAUUUCGCUAAUUUUAUAGAAUAUCAGAAUAAAAGAAUAAUUAAAUUCACGUUGAUUCCACAGAAUACCGAGAAUUAAUUGAACUCAAAUACUCACACAAAGUUUUGAAAACUGAAAUAUUAUUAAACUCGAAUCUCUCUGCUUAUAAAAGUUAUAAAAGACACUUAUUUAUACUAACUAAAACUUAUCCUAAUUUGAUUAAAAAACUUAUUUUAAUAAGAUUUAUACCUAAAUUAAGAAUAUUGCCCAAAUAAGUAAUGCUAAAAAUUAAGACUCUAAAUAGAAAACCAAAUUAAACUAGAAUACAAAUUAAUUAAAAUAUUACUAAAUAUUAUAAAUUUCAAUGAAAUUAUGAUUUUUUUUAAUUUCUUGCUUAGCGUCAAUUAUGCAUGCAUUAAAAAGAUGAGGAAGAGAAGAUUAAGUAACAAACAUGAGGCCACCAAGAGAGUAUGAAAAAUGUGGAUUUAAGUUUAAGUUCCAUAAUGUUUAUGUUAGCAAAAGUGCAAAACAGAGAGUCUGAGGAUAAUGAUAUUAUUAAAUUUAAUAUGGGUUUGGUUUGUUUAGAUUCAUGAGUUUCUCUAGACUGAUAUGUGGGGGAAAAUUUAAUCCACUUGACAACUAAAAAAUUCAGAAAUCAAACCUCAAUUUGAAAAAUUAGAAAUUUAAACAAUUAAUUUUUUUCCAUAUGCAUGCAAAAAAUUAUAUCUAUGUAACUUGUCAUAUGCUAUAUAUAUUCUAUCAGGUGGAAGAUUUUCUAUUCAUUUGUAUCAAAUAUAUGGUAUCAAUCAAUAAAUUAUUGUUUUGUUAUAUAUACUUAUAGUAUCUUAUAGUAAACUAAGAAAUAUUAAAGAUCUUCUAGCGUGUUUUGAGUCGUAAAAUGUUUAAAAAAAAUUCAAUUCUAAAGUAUAAUUAACUAUUUUGUGUCCUAGGUAUUAUAAAAGGUCUUUGAAGUUUUUGGAUUUUUUUGACCCAUUUGUCAAUAAGUGAAACUAUUAGCACCACUUUAAACUCCUCAUAAAUCUUCUCUUCUAAAAGUACACCAUUAAAAACAUAUGUAAAUCACACUAAUUUUAAUGACACCUAUGUUAAUUUCACAAAUAACCUUAUAUAUUCUUUGUGCUUAAAAAAUCAUAUGAAAACAAAAAUCUUUUGUUACGAAACUUUUUCACCAAUUUAAUUUGAAUCUAAAAACUAGAUAAGAUACUCUAGGCCAUCUUCUUGAGUGGAGCUAUUUUAAUUCCACAAACGUCCUUGUACACUUCUUUCUCACUAACUUUACUAUGAGAGAGAGAAAAAAAAAUUAAAAAUAUAUUUCUUUUAUACUAAAAAAGGUUGCUAUAAGCUAAUCCAAUAUUAUUUUAUACUCUGAAUGUGACAAUUCGCAUGCUUUUAUAUGAACGCAUAAAUUGAUAAAAUCAAGAGAACAAGUAGCCAAAAUAGUAAGGCUCUCAUAAUUUGAAAAUAAUGAACUAAAAAUUUCAGUCCAACAGAAACCACUAAUUUAAGAAUAAAAAUAAAAUAAAAAAUAUUUUCACUAUAACAACAAAAUUAUCUUUUAUUUAAUAAAAAUAAAACCCAUGUGGGGUUAGAGGAAGAGAGAUGGAUUGUCAAACAUGAUUUGAUUAAAGUUAAAAAUAUAAAUUUACGAUAUAAGAAUUCUUUUAGAGGUAGCAAUAGCUCCACUCUUUUUUUUUUUUUUCUGUAGUUCUGCAAGUUCUAGGCGCAGGGAUUCUAUGAAAGUCUUAGAGGGUGCCGAUAACUUUCAAUAAUAUGCGUGUAGGUUAAACAAUAUUGAAUUAUUAGAUGGACCUUUCUACCUCUAUUUUACUUAUUUUGGAUGGAUGUACUUUAGAGAAUCUAUAAGAUAACCAUCCUCUUAUUUGAUCCAAUCCAAUUUAAUUGACUUACCGCUUUAUGUUAAUAUAUAAUUAUAUUUUCUUUGAAUUGUUAAUUGUUAUAAUAGUUCAGAGUUUUAUCGAGGAGAUAGCUCGAAAAUCAAACUAAUUCUUACUCAGAAGGGAGCGGAAAUAAAUUGUGAUAGAAAAUAAAUUAUUUGAGUGCUCUGCGAGUCAAAGACCCACCCUCAGAUAAACAACUAUCUUAAUAAAGCAGAGCAGCAAUGUCAUUCUUCUCGUUGGGUCUUUUCUUCAAACGUCUUCUGUACAAACAGCUCACCCGCCGUCAGAAUCUAUUUCCGCUCAUAAAACAAAAACCCAGAACCCAAUCAACAACACCCUCUUCCGUUCUGGUAAAAGUUUGCAUGAUAAUGAGUAAAUGAAAAAUAAACAGUAAUUCAAAGCUAUCCGAGGAUUUUUCUCAAUUUAUCCUUUAUGCAAUUGUUUGUUGUUUAUGGGUGUAUGAUUAUAUUUUAAAACAAAUAAAAAAAAAGUAAAGGAAAAGAAAAUUCGAUAAAGAAAAAGCGCUCAUUAUCCAAAUAAAAAAAAAAAAGGCAUCCAUCACUUUAGUUUCUAACGUGGCCAUCAGUCCUUUCUUUGUCUCUUCUUUUUAAUUUGUUACAUUAAUUUGUCAGCAUCAUUGCUGAAACUUGAUAACGAUAACUUAAUAACGAUAACGAUAACGAUAUAAACAAGAUCUUGGGCAUCGGAAACUUAAUAACGAUAUCUAAUAUUUAGUCGGCAUCGUCAGCAUCAUUGCUGUAAGGCUCUGAAAUCCAAGCGUGACAAUCAAAAUAAUGCUUCACAUAACUGCUGUUGUAAGCCUCUCUGGCGAAAGCCGUCUUGUCCAACCCAAUGCUAUCAAGUAUGGCCACCAAUGAAAACUGAGGUGGUCCCUCGAUCAAUAGAUCUAACAACUCCUCCAUUCCAUCAUCUUGACCCACGAUGUCCCUACUUUUAGAAGAUGAAGAUAUACCGGCUUCAAUUUCAAAAGUUUUGAUGCGAUCAAUGAUUUCGGAAUCCAUGUGCUUAAGUUGUUGCAUCUGUUGCUUAAUAUCAGUGAUUCUGCUUUGGAGUCCUUGCAGAGCAUCAAAAAUGUCCUUGCUACAGCUGCUUUGACUCUUAUGUUGAGCGAUGCUGUUGAUGAAUGUGUCAAUGACCUCCUCAGAUUCAUACGUAAAGCGAUUGAUUUCAUCCAUAAGGGUCCCAAUGUUCCCAAGAUCUGGGUCAUCAAUUUCCUCUUCUACUAUUUUGAGUAGCAGAAGGCAGGAGAUAUUGUUAAGAAAUUGGUGGGUGAAGUAGAAACGCAGCUACAAUGAAAUUGAAAGAAAAAUAAAGAACAAGCACAAAAAGGACACUAGGAAAUUACGUGGUUCGGCUUUUAGCCUAUGUCCACGGGCGAACACAAAAGUAAAAUAUUUUACUAGUGAAAAAGAGUUACAAGUAUUCAAGUAUUGUAGUAUUUUAACUCACUACCCAAAACCUCAAUACACUCAAACUCUCAAAUCACUAGACUCUUAAAAGCUCUCUGAAUAAAUAAAAGAGUUGAAGAACUCAAUGAUUUAUAAAUGAAGGGAGCCAGCAUUUUUAUAGCCUAAAUUGGCUACUGUUCAUUUAAUAAUUAAUUAUUAUUAUUAUUUUAUUAAUUUUUCUUUUCUUUUCCUUCUUCAGCCCGACAUCUCUUUUUCUUCUUUCUCUUUUGUUUCUUUCUUUUGUUCCAAUCAAAAAAACAGAAGUAAUACUUUCUUCUUCAAAAUGGGUGGGCCCACCUUCUAGAAGGGUGGAGCCCACAUGCCAUUUUUGUCAUUCUCCCACUUGGAGAUUAGAUUGAGAACCAAUCAAUCUCCACACCAUCCUUUCUGCUUUGCCAUUGUCAUAUUGCCUACGUUUCUACUAGGCCACAAGAGGAUCUACUUUAGACAAACUUGUCAGUAUUGAUUGGCUUGGUCAUAACAUCUCCUAGGUUCUACUUCAUAUGGAUUUUCUAUAAAUCCACAUUUCCAUCUUCCACUACUUCUCGAACAAAGUGAUACUAAACUCCUAUGUGCUUUGUCCUAGAAUGAAAAACUGGAUUCCUUGUAAUGUGCAAGGUACUCUGACUGUCACAAAACACAGAAAUUUUCUCUUGUUUGUGCCCGAGCUCCUCCGAUAACCUUUGUAUCCAAAUAGCUUCCUUGCAAGCUUGUGUAGCUACCAUGUAUUCUGCUUCUGUUGUAGAUAAAGCAACAACGGUAUGCAGUUUUGAAAUCCAACUUACAGCUGCUCUCGCAAGUGUAAACACAUAGCCAGUAGUAGAUUUCCUUUUAUCAAGGUCUCCUGAAAAAUCUAAAUCCACAUAGCCCCUGACAGUAAAUUUUGAUCCUCCAUAACAUAAUGCAACAUCGGAGGUUCCUCUGAUAUACCUCAUAAUCCUCUUCACAGUUAUCCAAUGCUCUCCACCAGGAUUCGUCAUGUAUCGACUGACUGCUCUCACUGCUUGUGCAAUGUCUGGUCUAGUACAUAUCAUAGCGAACAUCAAACUUCCCACUGCUGAUGCAUACGGUACUCAAGACAUCUUCUUUCUCUCUGCUUCAUUGCUAGGACACAUACUUGAGGAUAAUUUGAAAUUAACAGGAAGUGGGGUAAAGAUUUUCUUCAAGUAGUUCUUCUGAGAAAGCCAAAUCUUCCUGUUAUUUCUAUCUCGGUGAAUUUGCAUCCCUAGAAUUUGUUUGUUGGUCCCAAGUCCUUCAUUUCAAAUUCUUUAGCCAACUGUGCCUUCAAUUCUUGGAUUUGAUCUUUGUUGGGGCCUGCUACCAACAUGUCAUCCACAUACAACAACAAAAUAAUGAAAUCAUUAUCUUCAAACAUCUUGUAAUAUGCACAAUUGUCUGAAUUGAGUCUGUUGUAUCCAAGGCUCAUGAUGAAAGAAUCAAAUCUCUUAUACUAACACCUCGGUGCCUGUUUGAGACCGUAUAGAGAUUUGUUCAACUUGCAAACCAAGUUCUCAUUUCCCUUUUCAGCAAAACCUUCUGGUUGGAGCAUAUAAAUUUCCUCUUCAAGUUCUCCAUGAAGAAAUGCAGUUUUCACAUCCAACUGCUCAAGAUGUAAGUCAAAUGUAGCACACAUUGCCAAGACUACUCUGACUGUCGUGAGUCGAACCACCGGAGAAAAUAUCUCGUUGAAGUCAAUACCUUCUUUCUGAGCAAAUCCUUUCACCACCAAUCUCGCACGAUACCGUUCCACUUGGUCAUUGCCAUCAUGUUUGAUCUUAUAGACCCAUUUGUUUCCAAUGGCUUUUCUUUCGUGUGAUAGGGGUACAAGUUCCCAUGUCUUGUUCUUGUGUAGAGCUUCAAUUUCUUCAUACAUUGCUGUCAUCCACAAAGCAACAUUUGAGCUGUUUAAGGCUUCAUGGAAAGUUGAUGGCUCUCCAUCCUCUGUUAGAAGACAAUAUGCAACAUUGAUCUCUGUGACAUACUCCGAGUGCCACGAUGGCGGUCGUCUCUCACGAGUUGACCGACAAACUUCUAGAGCCUCGGACUCGACUGGUUCUUGUUCUUCGUGCUCUGGUGCUGCUUUAGAAGAAUCUAAAUCUUCUGGAUUAUUUUCCACAUAUACCGGCACAGUCUCUGACUUUUCUUUUACAGUGUCAUCAUCUUCAUCUUUCUUUUGCAGUUGAUCUUCUACAAAAAUAACAUCUCUGCUGAUGACGAUCUUAUGGGCAGUGGGGUCCCACAGACAAUACCCCUUUACUCCAUCAGCAUUUCCCAAGAAGAUACAUCUUUUAGAUUUUGGAUCCAGCUUUUUUCUUUCUUGGGCAUUGUACAUCACGUACACAGGACAUCCAAAUGCAUGUAGGUAGGAGUAAUCAGCUGGCUUUUCAGUCCACAUCUUCAUCGUUGUCUUCAGCCCAAUUGCUGUAGAUGGCGACCGAUUUACUAUACAACAGGCAGUUUUGGCUGCUUCUGCCCAGAUGAAUUGGGUAGACCAACAGUCCUCAACAUAGCUCUUAUCAUUUAUUUAAUAGUCAUGUUCAUCCGCUCUACCACUCCAUUUUGUUGAGGAGUGUAUGCCACUAUAAAUUGCCUCUGAAUACCUUCUUGCUUACAGAAAGCAAGAAACUCGUCGUCUGUAUACUCUCCACCAUUAUCUAUCCUCAAGCAUUUGAUCCUUUUCCUGGAUUCAAGUUCAACCCGCACUUUGUAUUCUUUAAAUACUGGAAAUACAUCUGACUUUUUCUUAAUUGAAUACACCCAACAUCUCUUGGAAUAAUCAUCAAUGAAAGUCACCAUGUACUUUGCACAUCCCAUGGACAUAUCCGGCGAUUUCCAAACAUCAGAAUGAAUCAAGUCUAUAAUGCAUUUACUUCUAACAAUAGAUCUACUGAACUUUAAUCUAUACUACUCACUUGUAACACAAUGCUCGCAAAAUGGUAAACUUACCGAUUUGAGCCUUGGAAGCAAUUUUCGCUCAAAGAGAAUCUUCAAACCUUGUUCUGACAUGUGGCCAAGUUUGAGAUGCCACAUUAUCAUUUACUCUUCUCCAUUUGAUGCGACACACACAUCAGCCUCCUGUAGUAUUUCUCCUUUAAGCAUGAAUAGAUUAGCACCGAUCUUUUCUGUCUUUAUCAAUACAAGUGUGCAUUUAACGAUCUUCAUAAUUCCAUUCUCCACAUGAGUUUUGUACCCAUGACUAUCCAUUUUUCCUAAAGACAAUAGAUUUUUCUGAAAGAAAUGCAUCCGGUACAUGUCUCAACUCCUAAUACGGGGCAGCACCCCUUGAUCAAAGGGCGCGCCGAGAGGGAACAACCUCGAGUAGGCCAUUGACAUGUCGUACCUCCCCAAUUGUGCGAAUUAUACCAUCAAACAUUUUCAUUUUGAUAGUACCAAUACCAGCAAUCUCCAAGGCAUGAUCAUCUCCCAUAUAUACAGAUCCUCUUUAGAUAGGUUCAUAUGUAUGGAACCAUUCUCUCCUAGAAGUCAUGUGCCAGGUAGCUCCUGAGUCUAUAAGCCAGACAUCCAAAUAGCUGUUUUCUGCCUUCUGAAAUAGUUAUUGCCUCGCUAUAGAUAAUUUCGCCAUCAUCCGAGAUACUUGCUACACACCCCUGAGCAUUUGAUGACUCAGGUUCUUUGCCCUUUUUUUUCUUCUGGUUACUCCAACACUCUUUCUUGACGUGCCCUUUCUUGCCACAGUUGUAGUAUUUAACAUUCUUCUUACUUCUAGAUUUUGAUCUACCAUGAUUGUGACUCCCACUGGGGUCACGUUCCAUUGAUCUCCCUCUCGUCACCGAUAGCGCCUCCGCUUGCUGCGAACUUGCUUGUCUGUUUUUCUUAUUUUUUCGUCUGCUCUCCUCAUUUAAUACGGAGGCUGCAACAUCGUCAAAAACUAGACUGUCUGCUGGAUUGUUGUUCGUCAGGUUGAUAAUGAGCUGAUCAUAUGGGUUCGGUAGACUUUGAAGUAAAAGCUCUGCAUGUUCAUUCUCCUCUAUAUUAUGACCCAACGUUGUGAGUUGUGAAAAUAAAAUUUUCAAGGUGUUGAUGUGGUCGGUCACCAUUGUAGAUUCCGCCAUUCGAAGAGUAUAGAGCUUCCUCUUCAAGAAGAUUUUGUUGUGUAGUGACUUGGCCUCGUACAAUUUUGUGAGAGUAUCUCAUAUUUCCUUCGCUGUAUUUUUCUCUGCCACACUGGAUAAUACUCCAUCUGCAAGUGCCAAGUGUAGAUCAGAAACGGUGUUGCCAUCUAUCUCGUUCCACUUGUCAUCAGUUAUCUCCAUGGGUCUUUCUCCAAUUGCUGCCAAGCAAUUAUUUUUCCUCAAUAUAGCUUUCAUCUUCAUUUUGCACAACGAAAAAUUAUUUCCAUUAAACUUCUCAAUUUCAUACUUUACCACCAUUUUGUUGAUAAAUACCACACACAAGCUAGUGUACCACCCUGAAUAGUUGUAAGUAUGUGUGAGAAUGCACACUAGGAAAGUUCCCAGGAAAGACUGGAGGGGUCACAAUGGUCCCACCUAAAACCCAGACUCCUUAAGCUCUUAUCGCCUUUGUGACAGAACUUUCCUAGACAUGUACAAAACCACACAAUUACUUUACUCACACCACUAUUCCCUGCUUUGGACCGCAAAAUUAUUAGAUCGAUCCCACCGUUUCUUGUGAACAGUAUCGUAUCUAUGAACAGUGCCGUAUACGUGAACAGUACCCGACUCUAAAGAAUACAACCAAUAGCUCUUAUACCACUGUUAGGAAAUUGGUGGGUGAAGCAGGGCCACAGCUAAAAUGAAAUUGGAAGAAAAAUAAAGAACAAGCACAAAAAGGACACUAGAAAAUUACGUGGUUCGGCUUUUAGCCUACGUCCACGGGCGAACACAGAAGGAAAAUAUUUUACUAGUGAAAAGGAAUUACAAGUAUUGUAGUAUUUUAAUUCACUACCCAAAACUCCAAUACACUCAAACUCUCAAACCAAUAGACUCUUAAAAUACUCUCUAAAUAAAUAAAAGAACUGAAGAACUCGAUGAUUUACAAAUGAAGGGAGCCCGCACUUUUAAAGCCAAAAUUGGCUACUGUUCAUUUAAUAUUUAAUUAUUAUUAUUAUUUUAUUAAUUUUUCUUUUCUUUUCCUUCUUCGGCCCGGCAUCUCUUUUUCUUCUCUCUUUCUUCUUUUUCUUCUUUCUAUUUUGUUUCUUUCUUUUGUUCCAGUAAAAAAAAUGGAAGUAAUACUUUCUUCUUCAAAAUGGGUGGGCCCACCUUCUAGAAGGGUGGAGCCCACAUGCCAUUUUUGUUAGAUAUCAUCUUCAAAUUCCCUCAGCCAAGAAGUAACGAUUUCAACCUCCACAUUAAGGUUCUGAAUAGCUUGUUUUGCAUCACCAAGCAACGUGACUUCUUCACCAGCUAAUACCCUUCUCAGCCUCUCUGAAAAUAGUCUGAAGCUGAUGUCCAUAUCUCCUCCUCUCUCAGACUCACCCUGAAAUCAGUCCUGUAGCAUGCAAAGAAAUAAUUAAAAGAGAGAGGGGAAAAGGAAAAUAUGCUUUAAAGCUCUCACUUCAAACAUUAGUGCUGGCUCCCAUACCUUCCUUCUCUUAGCUAGUUCUCUAGUCAAGAAGUUGAAUCAAGAUCAUUGACUCUCAAAUUAUAACAGAUCAAGGCAAAAUCUUACAAUACUCUUGUCUUCCAAAUGUUGUAAAAAGAAUAAAGCAGAGAAAAAUAAACAAGACAUCGUCAAGUUUUGAUCAAGACCAAUUUGUUUUAUACAUCCACUUUUAAGAAAGGAAGGGUAAAAACAAUUCUGCUGGGACUAUAAACGCUUGUUUGAAAAGAAGAGAACAAAGCAAGCACAAGAGGGAAAAGGAUCCUCUUCUGAUCUGAUCUCUUCUGAGUUUUUCAAGAUCUUCUGUCAAGUGUCUUUUAGUGGUAGUGUAUGAGUAAGAUUCAAUUUCUUUUAUUUUUUUAUAUAUUAACUACCAAUCAACAAUUGACUUAUUUAUUCAUGAUAUAAUCAGAUCAAGAGAGAAUCUUGAUCCGCACAAGAGCGUUAUCAAUUAUUUAAUAAUUAAGCUGUGGAAAAAUGCAAAAUCAUGUCUGCCACUUGCUGGCAUGCAAAAAAAAAAAAAAUCAUUGUUAAAACUUCUUAGCUCUUAAUUCAAAUAUUUAUGUGUCCGCUGAAACAUUUAUUGUUAAUGAAUGGAAUAGGUCGUAGGUUGACCGACGUAACUCUUUCUCUCAAUACUCCAGUGGUGUAAGCAUGUUAGUUUAGUCAAUAGUUUCUCCUGUACAUAAAUGAUGUUUUAUUAUAGAAUUUUGAUAAUAUGUAUAAUAGGGAAGUAGUUGUAGUUGUAGAAAAGAGAUUGGGUAUUGGUUUAUGUGAUAUGGACUUGGAGCAUAAUAAAUUAUACAACUUGCAAUUAAAUCCAAAAUGGCAGUACUUCAUUACUUUUGUCCUCUGUGAAUAUAAAACACUGACUAUGUAAUCAUAAUACUUUUUUAAUGAGUAUGAUGACAAUUAAAGACAAAUAAUGAUUUUGUAAUUAUUUCAUGGAGUUAAUCACUGACUGCUAUAUCAUGCACAAGUUUUUCCGUGACUAUUUCCCGUGAAAAGGAAAUUUUUAAAAGCUUUAUCAAUGUAGGUUAGUACUAGCAGCUAGGUUGGAGAAGAUGAGGGAAAGGUGACGCUAAUGAAUAAAUAUGCUACCACUUGCAAUUAAUAAAAUGCUAACCCUAUAUGGUAAAGGCUGGAGAAGAUGAGGGGAAGGUGACGCUAAUGAAUAAAUAUGCUACCACUUGCAAUUAAUAAAAUGCUAACCCUGUCUGGUAAGCUAGCUCUGUUCAUUGAAAGCAAAAGCAAUAGAAUCUUUGACCUUGCUGCCACAAGAUGAUUGUCAUGGAAGGCACCAAAGUUUCCAAGUAACAGACAAAGUUAAAGUAGUUAGCACUAUGAGCCGAGGCAAAGACAUACUUCUAAUCAUCGUAUUUGCUUUUUAAGAGUCUUCACCCUAAUUUUCCACAGCUUGCUUCUCUGCCUCAUACCUUAGUUUUAACAGCAUCUCCAUCUAAUCCUCUCAACCCACCACACGGGGGUUUCUUGUUCAUCCGCUCCCUCCUCCUCCCUAGAGAAGAAUCAAUGGCCUGAUACAAACUUGAUUUUACGCUAUCAAGUACGGCCACUACUAAAAGUUGAGGUGGUACCUCGAUGAAUAAAUCUAUCAACUCCUCCAUUCUAUUAUUUAGACCCAUUGUGAACCUCUUCUUAAAUCCUGAAGAUACAGAAGAAUAAUUACCGGCAUCAGCCGCUGUUGAUGUGUUGAAUCCUCGAUGAUGAAUUAUAAAUUACAAGACUUGCAUGUACAUCACAAACAAAAUUUGUAUCCCAAGGCUAUAAAUAUAAAAUUACUCAAAAAUAAAUAUACAUGAUUAAUCAUGUACGACGGGAUCUUAUUUCUUCAACGAGAUUUAGAGAAAGUACUAGAUCGUUUGUAAAAUUUUAUAUUUAUUAUAUCUUCAUUUUAAAAGCUUAUACAUAUCCCACAGAAAUUUGGGGAUCUUUUAAGCAUACUUUUUUAAGAAAUGAAAAAUGAUAAAGAGUACUAAUAGUGACAUAAGGGUGACAAAAAUAACUGUAAAUUGUCCAGUGUUACAAUAUUGAUUGAAAAAUAGUUAUAAUUUUUUUUUAACACUAUAUGACUUUACAGUUGUUUUGUCACCAUUAUAUCGUUCUUCGAUUUAAGUAUCCAUACUAUAUGAACCCUCAUCUUUUUGAAAAGAUUAUCAUCUUAAGACACUAUUUAUAAUUAUUUUCGUAUGAGUCCUUAAUGUUAAAAAUAUAACAAUCAAUUAAUGAAAUCAAUGAUAAUUGAAUUCCAAAUAGGAAUGGCAGAAAAAUCGAAUCCCACUAGAUCAUAUUUUCUACAAGGGUAAUGCUAAGUUACAUGCAUGUACCUUACAUCCCUCUCACAUGAAUAGUGUAUGGAUACUAUUCAUGUGAGAGGAUUGUAAGGUACAUGCAUGUAACUUAGAGGGAUCCUUUCUACAAACUGUGGCCACACUCAGGCUUCGCAUAAAAGCUUGAGCCCAGCUCGAAAGCCCAAAAAACUACAUAAAAACUUGAAAAUAUGUAUUAUAUAUUUUAAUUAAAAUACAACUUUUAACAAUUAUUUAAUUCGCUUUUAACAUAUAUUUAAAGUUUUAAAUCAUUCAAGUCCAACUUUUAAAACCUAAUCUAACCACACACAAAAAAACUUAAUUUUAUACACUAUAAAUUUACGAAAUAUAAUAAAAAAAGUCUUUAGAAAUAUAAAAUGUAAACUUCAGGCUCUUUGGCUUGGCUAGAAAAACCCAGCGUUUACCAUCUCUAAUUCCAAGUCUUAAAGACUUCUCCAAAUGUGUAGUACAACAUUGUAUAGGACCAAUCACAUGGAGAUGAUUUGUAAAUUUUCGUACGCAAUUUUAAUAUGCAUAUCAGGAGAGAGUAGAGAAGAGAGGCAGCAAUAUUAGUUGAUGCUUUUAUAGGACAUAUAAUGUAAGGAAUAAAACAAAGAUUGCAAGAAACUCUACAAAUUUUGGAAUUCAGCAUCCAAAAUAUCACUAGAACUUGCAAUACAAGCUUUAAUUUCUUCAACAACACGUCGAAUUUCGGCCAGGAACACAAACGCAGAGAUGGGUAUCAAGAUCACAUUCAAACGCAUUUUGCAGUUGUCACACUCAGCAUUGCUUUUACAUGUGACUGCUUUUGAUUUCGGCUGAGCAUCAACUGCCGGCAUGGAAAUAUAAAACAACGCACCUGCAUAUAUAAAUGCCAAACAAUUAAUUAGCCUAAUGCUAAUAACACACCUGCAUAUAAAAAUGCCAACCAAUUAAUUAGCCUAAUGCUAAUACCUUCGUAUAAUAAUUAAUUAUGCAUGCAUCGAUGUGAAAAGAUGAGGAAGAGAAGAUUAAGGAACAAACAAGAGGCCAGCAAGAGAGUGAUGAAAAAUGUGAAUUUAAGUUCCAUUAUAUUAAUGUAAGCAGAAGUGCAAAACUGAGUGUCUGAGGAUAAAAAUAUUAAUAAAUUAAAAACUGGUUGGUUUGUUUAGAUUCAUGAGUUUUUCUAGACAGUAUUUAUGGGGGAAAAUUUAAUCCAUUUGACAACUGAAAAAUUCAGAAAUCAAACCUCGAAUCGACAGAUUAGAAAUUUAAAUAAUUAACUUUGUUCUAUAUGCAUGCAGAAAAUUAGAUGUAUGUAACUUUGUCAUAUACCAUAUAUUCUAUGAGGUGGAAGAUUUUCUGCUUCAUUUGUAUCAAGUAUAUGGUACCAAUCAAUAAAUUUUAUUUUGUUAUAUGUUGAUGCAAAAUCUGGUCAUGUCAGUAUGUAGGCCUACCAGAUUCCGACACCAGCAUUUGAAUUUGUUUGUGUGGAGAGACGGUUUCUAAUCUUGAUUUAGCAACUUGUACAAAAGUUGGCAACCAAGAACUCGACAAGUAUGAGCAAGAAUUGGCGAGCACUAUGUUCUCCUGGCGAGUUCCUGCAACCAAAAGAACGGUUAAGGGUGCCAGAAGUUUUUCGGCGCUAACCUUACUCAAGUCAGUAUCAAGAAUUUUCGCAGGAUAACAAAGUACAUGAAUAUAUAUGUAAAGUGAAUCAAUCUAAGUGAACCAAAAAGAGAAAAGUUAGAAGAAACUCUCUCUUAAAUAAGAAGAGAUGAUGAUAAGGAGAGAUGGUGAUCAAAAAAUAAAAGGGAUGAAGAAAAUAAAAGAUAAAUCUUCAAAUUUCCUAAUAUUCGAUAGGGGUCCAGGGUAUUCAAAUUUUGGAUCCUUAUCUUGUUGCCCCUUGGGAAUUCUAUAGGAGUUCAAAAUCCCUCUCCUUUGGAUCUCAGUGAAGUGGGUUUUUGGAUAGGGCUCCUCUUUCAUCUCCCCUUAAUUCUAGGAUUAUGAGUUAUUUGAAUAGGAGUCCACUUUCUUUACUCUUUAGGAUCAUGAAGUGUGGAUUUUGUGGAUAAAACUAAUUCCCUAGGUUUUCAGAUGAGGUGGAAAGGUUGUUUUGACUAGAUUUGUCCCCAGCUUCAAUUGUCUCCUUGCCUACUCCUGCUCGCCAAAUUUCCUCCAGGCCGUUUUAAGUGGCAAGGCAAGUAUAAUCAAGCUUCAAGGAAAGCUUGAUUCUAGUUGCCCUAUUUUAUCAACCAAACAUUAUAUAUACUUAUCGUAACUUAUAGUAAACUAAGAAAUAUUAAAGGUCUUCUAGCGUAUUUUGAGUUAUAAAAGGAGCACGCUUGCAAAGGAAAAGAAAGAGCCGUCACCCAAGGGAAAAUAAUAGAGAAAACCUAAAGAAAACAAAAGAUAAGAGCGUUUUGAGGGUUGCAACAGAGAAAUCACAAUGGACAAGGAGAUAUCGCAAGAUUAAGCAUACUUUAACUCUUUAUCUUGUUUUCUUGUUUUCUAAUUAUUCAUGGGAAUGCAUUUGAUGGCUGAAACCAUUUUAUUUAUUGUUUUGUCACAAAUCAUGAACUAAAAUUGAUUGUGGUUGAGUGAUAAACGAUCUUAAUGGUUAUUUGACUGAUAUACAUAUGUUGCUCUAUGUUUGCUAUAACAUUUGUCUUAAUUGUAUUUAUUUUAAUUUUCUAUUUCAACUGACCACUCAUUUAGUGGAUAUUACUAAGAAAGAGGCUAAAAAAUGCCUGACUUAGUAGAUCUCAUUAAGAUAAUACUUAAUUUUAGAUUAGGUUUCCUAAGUUGAGUAAUUCUCAAUUUGAAUAGAGUCAUUCUUGACCUAAAAUUAGUAAAGAACUAGAUAUAUGGAUUCACCUUAUAGGGUAAAUGAAACCUAGAUUGUUUAAUGUUAUAUUUAAUGUUGGCAUAACAAUUGGUCACUGUUAGGUUGCAUUAUAUAUAAGAUAUCAAAUAGGUGACAGCUAAGGAUGCAUGGGGGAUUCUGCCCAGUGGUGUAGUAGAUGUUGUAGCAAUGAGUUCUUAAUUAAGAAAAAAGUCAACACUAUUAAGUGAGUUUAUUUACUCAACUACUCUAUUACCAUUUGAUUUAUCUUUGUGUUUGACGUGAGAAUUUUCUUUAUUACAUUUAUUUAUUGCAUUUUUAAUUUAAGUAGUUCAUUAGUUUUAUAAAUUAUCUUAUUUUAAUUAAAACAAAAUUGCACUGUUAAGGUUGUUACACCAAAUCUGAAAACAUCAAAUCCCUGAGGAGACGAUCUGAAUACUCAUCAGUAUAUUAUUUGUUGUGCAUACUUGCACAUUAACAUCCAUAGCAAUAGAAAUAAUCCAACAUGAGGUGACUUCUGUAACUUGUUUUUUGGCAAAAGGAAAUGGCUCGAUAACUGGAAAAAGCAAAAGAAAGGAAGGAAAGAGAUAAAUGAUGUGAGAAAUUAAGGAUUUUGGGGAAGUGAAAAUUUAAAUAAUUGGUUCAGCGCAUACCAUAUCACAUACAUUUGAGAUGACGCAAUAGCUUGGGCAAAUAGGUGUCAGCUAAUUAGGGGAGUGAAAAAUCUUUUUCAACAACUUUUUGCUAUAGAGUCGGGCAACCAAAAUGGCAACUUGGAAUAUAGGAUACAUUAAGUUUCUAGUUUUGAUUUGUUUUACUCUCAACACUAGAAAUUGGGAGACUGAUGUUUUGGGGUGAGAAACAUGACGAUCAAGCACACAUGAGCAGAAUGUGCUCCCCUCAGCCUAAAAUGGCUCCUCAAGAAGAUUAUCCCACAUGAGGCAUGUAGCUAGUCUCAUGAGCAGAGUCAGCUUUAAGACGUGCGAGGAGAGACCAUAACCAAGUCAAAUCGAAGACUUGAUCAAAGGUCAACCCGUGGGUUUCCUCCAAAGAAUUCGGGCACGAAGCCCACUCACUAGUAGUUAUGUUGCCCACUUGCCAAUGGUUUUGUAACUAACCCAGUAACGGUGUUGGGGGAGAAGAGGCCGAUACUUCCAGUUGGAUACAAAAGCUUUAGAGAACCGAGGUAAGGGGGUUGAACAACUUUUCAUUUAAUUUUCUCGUGCUUUCUCUCUCUUUUCACAAUUUUAUCUUCUCUAUCUUUCUUUCUUUCUAAAAUAAAACAUUUCUUUCGUUAGCGUUGUUAUAAUUAAGCCAUGUGAAUUGUGGUAUAAGUUUUUCUAGGUAGACUGAGAUAGUUGACUUGAGUGUCAAAGGGUUUAUGCCAGAAAAACCUCGGGCUUCCCCUGACUAGUUGUUGUGAACGCUAGUGUUCUUGGAGAAAGUAUUCGAGAUCACAGGAACUUGUUCGAUAGUGAGGAAGCAACACAGAACUGUCUCCCCAAUAACAAAUCUAAGUGCUGAUGUGGUUAUUUGGUCGCUACACAGCUCGACCAGAUUUCUGCAUCGAUGGUCAUCAUAUGAAAAAUGCGAGCAAAAGCUUAACCUUGUAAAUAAGAAUCAGUCACAGGCGUCAAGUGGAUCUAAUAUUCAUAUUAUAAGAAUUUAAUAAAAUGAAAUCACUUUGUAGAUAAUUCAGAUAGUAAAAUACCUCUCACAGACUUCUUUAUAUCCCACGAUAUUUUAUUGUGAUUGAACUUAGGGUACGUUUAGUACACUAUAUUGUAUUAUGUUGUAUUGCAUUAUUUUAAUACAGGUGUAUUGUAUUAUGCUAUAUUACAUUAUCACUGUAUUACAACAAUAUUGUACAAUGUUUGGUGCUAUAUUGUACUAUGUUAAUUUUUAAUUAUAUUAUGUUUGGUAUUGCAUUGCACUGUAUUAAUUUUUUGUGAUUAAUUUAAAUUAUAUAUUUAGAAAAUAAUCCAUGUAAUAAUUCUAUAGUAUGUGUAAUAAGAUUUAUAUUAUUAUGUAUAUUGUUAAUUUCAAAUUAAUAUUAUUCAAAUCUAUUCAUAUUUAAACAUUUAUUAUUAGUUAUAUUAAAUUCCUAAAUAAUAAUCCAUUUUUAUAUAUUGAUUACAAUAAUAUAAUUAAAUAAUGUAAUAUUAUGUUAUAUUUUUAUUUUUACAUGUUAUUAAGUUAUUGUUAUUAGUUAUGUUAACUUAUUAAAUAUUAAUCAAUUUUAUAUAUUAAUUAUCAUAAUAUAAUUAAAUAAUACAUUAUUUAGUAUUUUAGUUAUAUUUUUAAUAUAAUAAAAAUUAAAAAAUAAUAUAAUAUUAUUUAAUAAUAAAUAAUAAAUUUAUAUUAAUAAUUAUAAUAUAAAAUAAAAAUUAAUAUUAAUAUUAUAUAAUAUAUAAUAUUAUAUUAUAUUAAAAAAUUAUAGUUAUUAUUAUUAUUAUAUAUUAAAAAAAAUUAUUGCGGCAAUUACCGCAUUAGUUAAGAUUAAUGCUGCUCACUGCUUUCCAAUCAAUUGUCAAAUAUGGGAUUUGUUCAAGUAAACUGAACCCACACGCUAAUGCUAUAUAAUACCACACGUCAAACACACCCAUAAAGCAUCUCAAUCAAAUUACUACAUGAAAGAAACCGAAACUAAAAAGGGAAAAAAAAAAAGUUGAAUUGUACUCAAACUGGGUAUUGAUAAAUGGAUGCACGGAAGCUUUUAAGUGGAGGCAAAGCAGGCAAGAAUUGAUUUGCCGAUGGAACCAAAAGAACAAUUCAAAAAAAAAAUUGAAUUGUAUUCAAACUGGGUAUUGAUAAAUGGAUGCACGGAAGCUUUCAAGCAGAGGCAAAGCAGGCAAGAAUUGACUUGCCGAUGGAACAAAUAGAACUCUAUUGGCAUUACUGAAAUGGCAUUUUAUUCGAUCUUGAGUACCAGAGAAAGAUUACACAAGUCAAGAGAAAAGGGGAAGGAGCAUUUAGCCUUUACUUGUAAGUAAAGGUAAAUAUCUUGGUUCAAGCAAAGAAAGAGAUACCAUACUAGACCAAAAGGAAAGCAUCUUAAGAAACAGUAAAGAAAGCAAAGACUUAGUUCUAGAAAAGAACAAGAUGCUGACGUCCUUUAUAAUCUGCUUAUCGUCUUCUUCUUCUUCCGGUCUCUGUUUUUCCAAUAAAAAGAUUUUGCUAACUGGAUUAGGAAAGAAAAAAUGAAAACCCUGAUUGCAAGAUGUUUUGGACAUUUAUAUCAUUUUCAUCUUUCGCAAUCUAAUUCGGUCAUUUCUGUCUGUAAUAGAAACAUGAAUACAAUUGAUUGAAAGGAAAAGAUGACAGAGAUGAAACUCCCGCAUUAGUUUAUUAAACGAGAAUGUGAUCCGAUCUUCAAGUCUUGAGAUAUUUUUAUUUUAUUUUAUUUUAAGUUAUAUUUAUUUGGUUGGUUGUGGUUAAUGUUUUAACUUAUACUUGAACUCAAUAAACUAGUUGUUAGUUAAUUAGUUAAUUAUUUGCCUUAGUUUAGGAUUGUGGCUCUUAUUCUUUAGUUUCAAAUUUCAUAUGUAAGCUAGUAUUUAAACUAGCAUCAAUCUUAAUAAUGGGACGCUGAAAUACUUUAUUUGGCAACUGAGAAAUUGUAUUUGAGAGGUAUUUGGUCCCUCAAAACACCAAAAACAUGUUCAUGGAGGUUUGGGUUUCCUUGGAUUAACUUAUUUAUCACUUGUUCUUUUUAUUUUAUAUUAUUUUCAGUUGCAGACAAUUUGUGCCUGAAAAAGAAUGUGAACAUCUUAACGGAUAGUUCAACACUAUAUUAUUGGAUUAAGAAACCACAAGAUACCAAGGACAUCCAAACCAACUAAGAGGAUUUGAAACAAUUACAGACUCAAAAUUAUACAAGUGAAUCCAAAACUAGAAUGUAAGACAGUGACUGGAGUCUAUGAAAUCAAACCUCUGCAUUUUAACCUCAUAUGUAUGAGAAUGAAGUCAUAACUUUGUAAAUUCUGGAUUUUUCAGCUGAAAUGAUCUCUCAGGCUGCAGCUAUAACAUGGCUUCUCUGAUACUACCUGCAGAAUGAAUUGGCGAUAACCAGACCUGAAGAUUUUGAUUUCUUUAUCUUUUCUACUUCAUUUAAUCGAUUAAUCUCAAUGGCUGUAAGGAUCCUUUUUUGAUGCAACAACGUGUGUGCUUUAGCGUAAACAAUUUAAUGCACCAAAAAAAAAAAGGCCUUAUUGAACUCUGCUGGUGGGUUGAUAAAAAACGCUAAUGGGGAUUGGGUUGCUGGAUUCUGUGCGAACAUUGGCAUUAGUUCGGUUACUAAUGCUGAACUCUGGGGUUUAUUCUAUGGUCUUGGUCUGGCUUGGAAGCUGGGGGUUCGGAAUUUGUUGGUUGAAGUUGAUAGCAAGUGCACUAUUGAACUACUUGCAAACACGAGCAAUAGUCCAAAUAGCUUUUCUUCACUGAUUCAAAGCAUCAGGAAGCUCCUUGAUAGGGAUUAGCAUGUGUGCAUUAACUAUAUUUAUCGUGAAGCAAAUUUUGCAGUGGAUUUUCUUGCGAAUUUUGCAAUGAGUCAACCUCUUGGUUUCCAUUUCCUCCACGAUCCUCCUCGUGGUGUUGUCCAUUGUUUAAAUCAUGACAUGUACGGGAAUGCUUUCCCUCGUUUUGUUUUUGUUUAGCCUUGUUGGCUCCCUUUUGUUUAAAAAAAAAAAAGGCCUUAUUGUAGUGCCUAAGAGGAUCUUAGUACUUCUUCACAAGAAUAUUUACUAGGAGAGUCAGCCAUUUAUGAAGUUCAUGAAUAAUCAAUCUUUUCCGCAAAACAAACCAAACAUACUGAGUGUCAAACAUGCCCAGCCUUAGAAGAGGAUUCCAAAGCAAGCAACAGAACAAAGACAGAAAAUACAUUCCACUGAAUCCAAGACUGGAAAGGCGUCACAAAUAUUAUUUAUUUUUUUGCACACAAUUCACCAACCAUGGCUGAAGCACCAAUCAAUCAACUCUCAAUUGAAUAUCUGAAAUGAUAUUUCCUAUUUUUGAGAGGACAGCAGAUACAAAGAAAGCAAAAAAUGUCCACCAUACGAUCAGGAUUUAUUUGUAUAUACAACAGAAGUGAAGACUAACUGAAAGGAUUCUGGUUGAAACUGAAACGCGGGCUGCAGUUAUGAUAUUUUCUGCUCGGACUUCACCUACACAAGUCAUUGGAGAAAUUGGUGAAAAAUAAAAUUUUUAUAUUACAUUUUUUAUCUUAACUAUUAAAACAAAUGAUGCCAAUGUCUGCUAGGCUCACGGUUGAACAUACAAGGGUACUGAAGUCUCCCCUGCGGCUAAAGAGGGUGAAAUGAUAAGGGUGACUAUCAGAAACUCUAAAGAGGGCUCAACUAUUUAACUGAAGGAGGAGGAAAAUAAAUAUAUUGAAGAGAAAGUAUACGAAAUUAGAUUAAAAAAAAAUUAAAAGUUGAAGAAAUUGGAUAAAAGGAGAAACUUACAUCGAAUUCAAUCGGGGCUAAUCAAAUUCCAUAAGGAUAUAGUUGAAUGCCAGACUGCUUCUUAUCCUCGAAUUCCCGUAGCUUUUGUCUCAACUCCGGCUGAGGCCACCAGCAAUCAAAUUUGUUUAAGCUCUUUAUGCACCAGAGCAGUUCAGGAAUCCUUUUCAAGUAAGCACAAGGGUUGAUAAUCAAGCAUUCUAGUUUUGGCAUGGCUGCAAUCCCCAUAGUCCACUCCUCUAGCCAUAGCAUAGAUUUCAUGUGCAACACCUUAAGCCUUGGAAAACCAUUAGAACCACAAGUCAGCUUUCUACCUGAAUAUGAGUUUUGCUUCAGUUUGAGCACUUGAAGAACCGGCAGCUGUUCUAGUGCCGGCAUGGGGUCAUCCAUUAGAUCAGUAUUAGAAAAACUCAGGUGGGUUAGACUUCGAGGAAAUAGGUUUUCAGCAAGGACGAUUUUGGAGUGCCGCGGCGUCUUGCUUUCAGUCGCCAGCUUCAAUGACUCAAGAGAGCUCAAUCUGCAGAGACUUUUGGGCAACAAAGAUUGAUAAUAACUUAAAUCUCCCCGUAUCUGGAGAUUUGGAAGAUUAGGUAGUCUGCCCAAAGGAAAUAUAUCGCAAAAGAAAUAAAUUUUCAACUCCGGACGGAUAUUGGAAGAGAACAAGAGAUCCCAAGUCCAAUACUCUGAGAAAUUUGAACAUUUUACCAAUUUUCUCCCAAUCUAUUGGGUCAAGGUGGUCGCUUUUUGAAGCAAAGUACAACAAAGAAUGCAAGUGCAAGUCAGAAUCAUCUAAGUAAGCGAAAUCGCUCUGUUUUUCAAAAACGUUGAUUCGUUUGAUAUUUUUUCGUGAUUUACCUUCUGGAUCAAUGAAAGGGAAAAAGAUAAAAUCCGCUUUGAAAGCCAUUACGAAUGACACGGGACGGCCACGGCCAAGAACAGAGCAUGUUUUGAUGGUGCCUCCAGCUCUUCUCUUCUUUGCUUCAACAAAACCUCUAUUGAUUAGUUGUUCUAAGUGCUUCUCAGCAGUUGCCUCAUUAUUGUCUGGAAUGAAACCUUCAGCUAUCCACAACUGAUAUAACUGCCUGGUGGAUAUCUCUAGGUGUGUGGGAAACACAGAUAAGUAGAGAAAACAAAGUUUCAAGCAAAAAGGUAACUUGCAAUAUGUGACUACUACAAUCCCAAGGGGUGUCUCCAAUACUUUCCCUAUAUUUUCUUCUAAUGAGAUGCUUCCAUGAUAUAAGAUGAGGAAAGGCCAUCCUUGGUAAGUAACUCUCAAUGGUCCUCCAGUGGGCACAAGAUCAAGCCGAAUGUUCUCUCCGUUUUCGAACUGAAAUGAGGUGACCAUCUCAAUUUCAGUGAGUGUUAUUAAUAUUCUACUUCCAUUCUGAUUAUCCGGAAGUAUUUCUCAAAUAAC